This 51056-nucleotide long non-coding RNA is filed under the name Ananas comosus (pineapple). RNAcentral describes it as "long non-coding RNA (ACOM_LNC008839)". The record is from RNAcentral. Lineage: Eukaryota; Viridiplantae; Streptophyta; Magnoliopsida; Poales; Bromeliaceae.
CAUUUUUUACUUUAAAAUUUUUAUUUUUUACUUUUUAGUUAUAAUUUAAUAUAACAAAUAUAUAUUAUAUAUUUUAAAAAAUAUAUGUAAAAAAAUUUAUAGUUUAGGGUUUAAAAUUGUUUUACAUAUAUUUUUAAAUGUCAUAAAAUAUAUCCCUAUUAUUAUAUUAAGUUAUAAUUAAAAAUAAAAAAUAAAAUUUUAGAGUAAAAAUCGGUGCACCGGGUGCACCAAGAAAAACCCCACUGCUCUCCCAAAUGGCCGAGCAGCGGGGGCGAUGGGCCCCACGUGGGGGAUUAUGCGGCGCCAUCGGAGAAGUUCAGGUGUCACGCGGCAUCCAUCCAUGGCGUCCCCAAAUUAUUUUCUAUGGACAUGGUGUCCAUAAAAUUUGUGUCUGCACUAAGGAACUUAACCAAUUCCGACUGAAAAUGACUUAAGUUUCGGGAUUGUUUCCGGUCCUCAUUUCGCGUCUAAACGAUUCUAACUCAUUCCGACACUCUCUAAAGGCGAUCGAUCUAUUAUCAAACUAUAGCCUUUUCGACAGUUAAAUUUUCGAAACGCUACAACUACCUUUAAGUUUUCAAAAAAUUUAUAGGGUACUACCCUUUGGUUUUCAAAAAAAUACUGUACUAUUUUUUUGAUGGUAGCUUUUUUCAGGAAAAUAAAAAUAAACCCUAAUAAAGCAUAACUUUUUAAAUCAUAGGGAUGCGGAAGAAAAAUGCGGUAAACCGUGGGGCAAAUUGAAGUUUUACUCAACUAUUCCUCCGCUUGCCCGUACCUCUCUGGCCAACCGGUUGCUAAUUUAGCCAACCGGAGCAGAGGGAGACCUUAAGCACGAAGCAAACCGAAGUUAGGGUUGGUUUCAAAGCUCGCUCCUUACUCUCCGCAUUUAGCGCUUGAUUUCUCCGUAGAAAUUGGUAUGAUAGUCGUUCUUUUUCUAUUUCUUUUCCAAUUUUUCCAAUUUUCCCUCUGUAUUUUGCUACAGAUUUAAGAUUUUCUCAUCAUUUUAACUGUUGUUGCAAAAUUUGGGGCAUCAAUUAGGGUUUUUCUCUUCUCAAUUUCUUUUGUUAUUUAGAGGACUUUUCAUCGAAUUAGGGUUUGCUUCUGUUUCUUCGAUCAUGAUCUCGUCAUCUUGAUCUGAAAUUCAUGUUUGGUAGAUAUGGAUUCCGUUUAUGGAUUAUUUGCAUCAUCAGAUCGAUCAUAGAUUGCUUGUAAAGUUCAAGAUUAGAUCUUCACCUCUGUGUCUCUUUAUAUAAGCAGAUUAGUUGAGACGAUUCGAUACGGAGACAUGAGCAAGCAAUCACUGAUAUACAGCUUUGUGGCGAAGGGCACGGUUGUGCUCGCCGAGCACACCUCGUUCUCGGGGAAUUUCAAUACGAUCGCCAUCCAAUGCCUCCAGAAGCUUCCCCCGAAUAGCAACAAGUUCACUUACUCCGCCGAUGCUCAUACCUUCAACUUCCUCGUUGAUAAAGGGUUUGGUAUGGAUUCUCUCAGGAUUUCACAGCUUUUAAGCCAGGUUUAAAGGAAAUUUUUCUCGUACCUUCCAUGUUAUGUAGUCCGAUUUUGCUCUUACGGUCUAAAUUAGAUUGAUAUUCUGAUUGUCUGGUAGGCCUUGCCAUUUGAUGAUGCAAUUGCUGUUAACUUUCGAUAUUUUCCACCCUCCUUUUUUAUCGUAGUCUAAUAAGUUUUUGUGUUUGGCACGUGGUCAAUGUUAGUAAUGAUACUAAUGGCAAGUCCAAAUAGGCAAUUGGAACAGUGAUGAUAGGGCAUUAAUUAUGUGAUAGUUUGGGACAUGGGUUAGUUUGUUUGGCCUUACUGUAGAGUGAAUGAUGUUCAAUGAAGUCAUCUUCGAGUAGUUUUACUAGAAGAUGCUCUAUGUAUCAAUCUCCUCAUCAGCUUCCCUGUACAGCAGAAGCAGAAGCUUAAGCUUCAAACUGAAACUUCUGCUUUCGAGCGUGGGAACUCAUUUUACCUUGCUUCAUAGGAGAAGCACUAGAUUCUCUAUUUGCCAAAUGCUCUUCUAGAGGUGGCUAUCGUUGAAAGGAGAAAUAAAAGCUAGGCCAAAUGGGAAAUAAUCCACAUGAUACUAAAAUGAAAUCGGGUUGUACCACAAGCGGGUUAUCUAGAGUUCCCUUUACUUUUCUUGUUUAACCGUAUUUAGUUUGAUUGUGUGCCUUUUUGGAUAGUUUUUCUUGUUGUAGCCGAUGAAGCAGUUGGGAGGAGUGUACCUUUUGUGUUUUUGGAGCGCGUUAAAGAUGAUUUCAUGCAGCGAUAUGGUUCAAGCAUUGGGUCUGAAGAUCCGCACCCUCCUGUCGAUGAGGAGGAUGAUGAUCUAUUUGAAGAUAGGUUUAGCAUUGCUUAUAAUCUUGACCGGGAAUUUGGGUUAGUGAUAAAUUCUUCAUCUGCUAUUCUUUUCUUUUUUCCUUUCAGAGUUUGGUUUCUUGAACAUUUUGUGCUCACUAAAUUCUUUGCUUGGAAAGUCCAAGACUGAAGGAGCACAUGCAAUAUUGCAUAGAUCAUCCAGAAGAAAUAAGCAAGCUAUCCAAGCUCAAAGCACAGAUUACAGAGGUUAAGGGGAUAAUGAUGGACAAUAUUGAAAAGGUUUAAAAGAUUUCUCUACUCAUUUAUUAUGAUUUUGCAAGUAGUUGAUCAUAGUUUACAUAUAUGCCUCUGAAAGAAGAACAUAGGCUUUGUGAUCUUCGUUUUAGCAUGGGCAUUUAGUACUGACAAGGAAUUUUGUGGCUUACUCUUAGGCUAUUAAGUAUCAUAUAAGUGAUGUGAUUUAACUCAUUUUUAUUUAAGCGAUGAGAUAGUUAUUUAUAUUAUCCGAUCUUUAAAAAAAAGUGGUAUUCCUGGAAGGCAAAUGAUUUUCUGACUACAGUGGUGUUUAACUUAAAGCAAGUUGUUGAUAGGACAGUGUAGUUUGUGGUAUCAAACUUAAAUGGCCUGAAGGUAUGGUCAUAUACUGUCAAAAACUUGUUGCGUUCGAAUGGUUGAAUUGUUUCUUUGGGCACCACGAGUCAAAAACUUCGCGAUGCUAUCUUAAACUUUAUUUUGUGUUGACCACUUUAUUUUAUAUUUCUGGAGAACUUGAACUGUUUAUUUUGUGUUUCUCUAGAACUUGAUUGCAUCAUUUUGUGACUCAAAUGCUUUAUUUUGUGUUGAAUUAUUAUUACUUCAUGAAUCAUGAAGAUAUAGGCCACAAGAACCAGUUAGACAUUUAAUUUCGAGCUAUUUGACUGGAAGCAUUUGCAGGUACUUCUUUUUAUGAAAUUUCAAGUAGCAAUAUGUGUAAAUUAUUCAAUUACAUCAUUUUGUUGGGGGGCAUAUUUUCCUUCGAAAUUCAGUAACUGAAUGUAACUGAUGAAUUUCAGUUGCUUGGAUUCGUUAUUGGUUUUGUUUUGUUUGGAGAGCAUUAAAAAGGAAAACUAUUUUUCUUUUUUGCUUUUGCUUCUCUUUUCAGGGAAAAAAUGAAGAAUCGAGUAAAUUGAAAAAAUCAAAUUUGUUUAUAUCUAUCUUUUAUAUAUAAUACACAAAUGUUAACGACAAAUUACCUGUUUGCCUCUCUAAAAUAUGUGUUGUGACUGACAAGUCUUGGAUGUCCAUUGCUGUAAUGCUUAAUAAUUACAGCCAUUUGAUUAAAAACUUACAACUGAGAUUUAAUUAAAUUAGGCCUAUAAUCUUGUAAGUAUUGGGUCAAAUGGAUUGAGCGAAGCAAACCAAAUCAAAUAAAGCAGCACUUUGGGGUCAAUUGUCUUUGAUUUUUUUAGGGGUAAACUUCAAUUUGCCCCUCGGUGGUUUAGCUUAUUUUUACUUUGUCAUCAUGUGGUUCAAAAAGUUGCACUUAAUUAUCAUUCUAUGGUUAGCUCAUUUUCACUUUGCCAUCUUUGUUGUUCAAAAUGUUACACUUUACUACCCUGUGAUUAUCAAAAAAUUUCACUUUGCUACCUUAUUUGAUAUUAGAAUUUUUGGGUAAAAAUAGAGAUAAAAUCACAGAGUUGUUUAGUGCAACUUUUUGAACCAUAGGGCGGUAAAGUGAAAAAUGAUCUAAGCGGCAUAUUGAAGUUUACCCAUUUUUUAAUGUUUUUCAGUUCUUCUUGGUUCCAGGAACAGAAUUAACUUUCUCUGUGGCUUUUCUUUUCUUUUUUUUCUCCUUUUUUUGUUUCUAUAUUUCUUUUUAUAAUUAAACAGAGGGAGAGUUGGACUUUGUAAUUUGCAUUAAAUUUUCUGAAAUUGAUAUGGUACUUUUGCAAUCAAUAAAACUGAAAUACAAAUCAUCCAAAUAUGUUGCCAAACUGAUGAUCAUGAUCUCAAAUGUUGACGAAACAGACGAGCAGGAAACCAUUUGAUUUAUUGGUCUUCAACAUAUUCAAUGACUUACGUAUGAGAAAAUAGAUGCCUCUAUUAGUCUCAGUACAAAAUUUACCUACUUUAGAAAUGCCAAUGCUAGUUUAUCUGCCUCCUUGACAUCUCAAUGAUCUGCCUACGAAACCAUCAUAAUAAACAGCUGGCUUACCUGUUUUUAGCCUCUGUGUUACUUGUAAGGUGUUGAACAUCUUUUCUCAUUCCAAAUCCAGAAGCCAAAUUGAAAUGUAAUUUGAUGGUUGAAGAGGAGAGAAGAUGAAAAUCUCAAGUCAAGCCUAAUUUGUUAUUUUCUUUUUUUCUCCUCCAAAGGAGAAUAGGGGAAAAUAAUUUCAGAAAUUUAAUUGAUAAAAAUCUCCAUUUUAGACUCUUUAGCUCUCCUUUGGAUGGAUGUUACUGAAUGUUCAAAAUUGCCUGAGCAUUGUGUUUAUCAUGCGUAGUUUGCUUGUUAGUAGAUUUUAUGUUACAGCCUUUGUUCUCAUUAGGUUCUCGAUCGAGGAGAGAAGAUUGAACUUUUGGUGGAUAAGACUGCGAACUUGCAGUUUCAGGUACUUAUAGCCUUCAAUGCUUCAAAAUUGUUCUGAAUCGAUGAAGUCAUAAGAGUCCAUGCCUGUUAGGCUUAAGCUGAAGCUUCUGCAGAUGUGCUGGUGGAGUAAAUCAUUCAAAAAGCACCGAGAGCUUUUCAUUAAGGGCCUGUAUUGCCUAGCUCUUCAGUACACUGAAGUUCUCCACGACAAAAGCAGCCCCUAUUAUCCUAUUAUGGGGACCACUUUUUCCUUGUUGAGAUGCCUGCCACCUCUGUGGUGUAUGGUAGCUCUCAGAGUUGGAGCUUUUGCGUACCACAGGUGGUGUGCUUUGUAAUCAGAACACACUGAAUAAAAAAAGGGACUAAAAUCACAUUACAAUUCCGCUGAAGCUGUAGCAAAAGCUUCAAAUUGAAGCUUCUACUCCAAAAGAUCACCUAAAUUUCCGUUACAGGCUAUUUGCUAACACUCUGAAUAUUUUGUUUACCAAAUGCCUUACCACACCCUAUCUUUUAAAGUAGAGAAGCUGUUUCACAUGCUACAUAAAUCAGUCACUGGAAGGCAAUGAAAUGUAGGAUCAAGCAUUACAGUUUUCCUUUCUUUUUCUUGUCUGUGUCAGGCUGACGGCUUCCAGAGGCAGGGAAGACAACUUAGAAGGAAGAUGUGGCUUCAGAACCUCCGGUUUAAGCUGAUGGUGGGCUGUGCCCUUCUUGCUUUCAUACUUAUUUUAUGGUUGAUGACCUCAAAAGGUUCUUCAGGUGCCAGCAAGAGAAGUUAAAAACUCUCAUCUUUCUGCAUCAUAUGCGCAUAGGAUGGAAUAUCAAAUAUAGAAAUGUGGAUACUAUGUGAGGCUACCAUUUAUAGCUAAAUUUCAAUCAUUAGCUGUGGAAAAUCAGAAAAUAGUAGGAAGGGGCUGAUAAUAGUUGGAUUUAUAAGAGUGAGAUUUGUGAUUUAAAUGCUUAAUAGGAUUGUUUUAAGGUCUUGUACAUUUGCAAGUUCACUGGGAGUUGGAAUUUGCCAAUUUGCUGCUGCUCAAGUACUUUCACUCAGGUGAUUUUUUUGCUUUUUUCUCUAAUAUUUUGGUACUGUAUUACUUUUCUACCAAUCUGUCGGUCCCAAGAUUUUUCCUAAAAUCCCACACACUUCCUAAGGGUUUGUUUUCAAUAGGUAAAUCAGUGAGAAUCAAAGUAUUAUUAAUAAUAACCGACUCUAUCUCACUAUUUUUUUGCUUCUCUUCAAAAAGAAUCUUCGAGGGAGGCAAUUAUCCUACCAUAAAGUAUAGGCAAUUAUUUUAUCAUGUUACGUCAUUACAUAUUCUAAGUCAUUGUCUGAAGGAUCAGUGUAAAUCACAAAUUCUUCUCUCAUAACUGGAAGGACGAGGAUAAGAGAUGACAUUAGCCUCUGCAUCAGUUCUUCAAAGAUUCUUUGGCAGUCCUCAUUUCAAAUGAAUUUAAUUUCCUUUCAAGUCAACUGAGUGAGAGUUGUGGAAAGCUUCGCAAAGCCUUCUGCGAACCAACAAUAGUAUUCGACCAAUCCAAGAAAAUUUCUCACCUGUAUAAUUGUCAUUCAAUUUGGGCUAAUUCCGAAUCACCUUAAUUUUCUGAGUCUGCUGCAACACCUAAUAUUGAAAUCACAUGGCUCAAGAAAGGAACCUUCUGAACCCAAAACUCAUACUUAUUCAAGUUUAGCAUACAAUUAUUUUUUCCCUCAGAAGUUGUAGCAUUAUCCUCAAGUGUUCCUUAUACUUUAUAUAUUACUCUGAGAGUAUAUCAUGAUAUGUCGAUAAACACCACAAUGAAUUAACCGAAGUACGGUUUGAACACUCUAUUCAUCAAAUCCAUAAAUGCAAUAGGGGCAUUUGUUAAUCCAAGUGGCAUAAAGGUAAACUCAUAAUGCCCGUACCGAGUCCUGAACGCAGUUGCGGGUAUGUCUUUGGCCUUUACCUUCAUUUGGUGAUAAUUAGACUGCAGAUCAAUCUUGGAGAAGAUACAAGAUUCUUACAGCUGAUCAAGUAGAUCAUCAAUGCACAACAAAGGAUACUUAUUCUUGAUGAUCAUUUUGUUUAAUUCCUCGUAGUCAAUACAAAGCUUCAGUGAAUUAUCUUUCUUUUUCACAAAUAACAUCGGCACUGCCCAGUAUGAUAACACCAGUGCUCUCCAAGAUGAUACAUUGGAUCUCACAAAUCCUUUCUCCAUCAAAUCCUAAAGCUACACCUUAAGCUCUCUUAGCUCUGCCAGUGUCAUCUAGUAGGGUGCCUUCGAAAUUGGCGCAAUUUUGGGAACUACGUCAAUCACAAACUCAAUCUCCCUAUCCGGUAGCAUACUCGUCAACUUUGGGGGGAACACGUUCAGAAACUUGGACUAUAAGGAUAUCCUCGAGUCCCGACACUGCUGUAGGCACCUCUACCAUAGUCGCCAAAAAGGCUAUGCAUCCUCUGUUCAUCAUCUACUUUGCCCUCAAUGUGGAGACCAUCGUAGCAAAUAAAGUGCUCCCGCAGUCUCCAUAAACAAAUUCCUCAUAUCCUAAUUCUUAGAAGGUCACCAUUCUAUCUCCAUAGUCUAUCUUCGCGAAGUAGCAUGCGAGCUAGUUAAUCUCGAGCACUCUAUCAAAAUCCUGUAUACCACCUCAAGACCAAUAGGUCUGCAGGCAUUAUUCAUGAUCCUAAUUGCACUGGACAUGGCCAACAAUACUCCACAUAUAAUACAUGAUCUGGUAUAUGUACCUCUCGCACAUGUGGUAACAAUCCUAUUUCUAGUUUAUGCGAUGAUGCAAAUACUCCGCUAAUAAAUGAAUGUGAUGACCGAUAUCAAAUAAUGCACGAACUCUAAUUCUAUUAAUUAAAAUGAUACCUGUCAUCAAAUUGUCGGCCGGUAUGGACUCCUCGACCUGGGCUAUAUAUACACCUAGUGACUAUGCGCUUGCUGUUGCUGCUUUGCUGGGCAUAGAACUAGAGCUCAAUUUGCCUGUGUAUUUGUCAGUAGGGCUCCCGACAUCUACUAUGGUGAGGAAAGAGCCAAUGUCAUCGAUAGUGCUGGCAAUGCUGCUCGGGGACAUGAUGACUGCAUAUGCCCUUCCUGUUCGCAUCGAAAACAUCGUCCCUCCUGCUACUCACAGAUACAUGGUUAGUGCGGUCCUCCUCAGAUAACACACCUAUCCUGUCGCCUCUGUUGCUGUUGUGGUCGCUAGGAUCCACUAGACCUCUGUCUUAUUGAGGACCCACGACUCUAAGAGCGAGAUCGUGGAGGCCUCGGCGGCCUCCUCGCAUGGUCUGUCCUUUGUCGUCUGGUACUAGGCGCUUCCUGUCGUGACCCUACUUCGACAUCGCCGCUUGCUCCCUCAUGACAAUGGUACUACGCUCCACCCAAAGAGCCUACUAUGACACCUCAUCGAGAGUCUGUAAAUGCUGCGCCUGAACCAAAGGGUAAAUCUCUGGUUGCAACCCUCGCUCGAACAAAUAUGCCUUGUGUGCCGCUUCCCUCACCACGAGCGGCAUAUAAUUUAGUAGUCGGUUGAAUUCUCUGGCAUACUCCUGGACUAUUUUGUCACCCUACUGCAAGUUUUUCAAGUAAGAGUUUUUUCUUUAGAUUGUUUGGGAAAUAGGUCCCAAGCAGCAACUCUCGAAACUUGGCCCAUGACACCUGUAUUGCACUCGGCGAUCAGGUCAAUUUGACUCUCUUCCACCAUGCAUGCGCAUUCCUCUCCAAGUAGUGCCCUGCCAAGUGUACCUGAUCAUUCUCGGGGAUGAAGAGAUCCUUAAAUAAUUUUUUUGUGGCUCCCACCGAAGCCUCCACUAUCCAUGAAUCGGUGCACUGGCUCGCGAACCUUGGCGGAUCGCGUCUACGGAAGUCUGCGCCCUAAUUCGCUCCUGCUCAGCUGUUGACAACUGUCUAGCAGCAUUGAGGUCUCAACACUGGGCAUCGGUGCUAUCGAAACUGUCGUCAUUGUAGGUGUCGUUAUUGUAAGAGCAAAUGCUGGUGUAGUUGGUAGUGACACUUUAGGCUCAGAGGCUCGCUAUACCUAGCUGUUACACCCAUAUCUAGCACAUUCUCUGCAAGAGAACUCCUUAUUGUCGAGUAGCCUCAACCAAGCUAGCCAAAUGCCCCCACAAAUCCUGCGGCUCACUUGGUCCCACUUGCUCCGGCUCCGUAGAUAGUAUGAGUGUGUCCCUCGUCAGUGGUUGACCCCUCCACGGCAUCAUGCUCACCUGCAAUAAUAUAUAUAUCAGUUAUACAUUGAAACAUAGUGCUCAACAUAAUCAAGCGAAAGUCUAGAAGGACAUCCCUUUUCCCCCGCGACAUUGUGCUGCUUGCAGUCGACAAAAUCAUCUGGCAAAAUCAUCCGGCAAGAAAAGACACAUUUUCUUCGAUCACUCUUCACCCUCUUUGAAGGUUUACACCGACCAAAUCACUAACUUUCAUCACAAGUCUUGUCUCUCAUUUAUUAUAUUCCUAGGGUCAACUAAAAGCCUAGGGUUUUCUAAGUCACAGAUGACCUACUCCUAAGCUCUGAUAUCAUUUUAAUCUGUCACUCCUCGGAUUACGGCGGUAACCCGGGCUCACCAACAGAGCCACUCUUACGUAGGAAGCCUUGUCUACACGAGGCGUCUAAACUUGCAAACAACUUAAGAGCUACAAUAAUAAUAGAUAUCAAAACUGGAAACACAAUAAUUAACAUAUAUGAUGCUAUACUAUAUAUACGUCACAUCCAAAAUACAUCCACAUCUCUCACAGCUAAAAAUAUACGCAAUAAAGUUGGCCUCGUAAGUCCCAGUAUGUACAAUAUGCUAUACUAGAAACUAGUGCUAUCGACUGCUCUGUUAGUACAUCCAGCUCGAGUAGGAGAUGCUAACUAACUCACAAUCUCCCUACCUCGGUCUGAAGCAGAAACAGGCACGGAGGGCUCUGAAAAAAAAAAAGGCAACAACGAAAGGUGUGAGAACUACUAAACAAGUAGUUUUCAGCGGAUACCGUCAUCGACAAUAACGACCUACCAAUCACGUCUACUAGAGGCAAAAAGUAGAAAGCAAUAUCAAGUAUACAACAAUAUAUAUAUAUAUAUAUAUCUUAUUAGUAUAUCUAUAUAAUAUUAAUACGAUUACAUUAUAUUUAUGCAUUAUACUAUAUACUAUAACCUUAUUCGUAGAAUACUCUCAAAAGCACCAAACCUUUCGUGCUUCAGUUUCUACCUCUGAGAUAUCUGACUCCCUUGAUAAAAUCUUGGCAAGAAUACUAUCUCCAUCUCACCAACCAAUACCACCAUUCAUCCUCAACCCCCUACCCUACAUUCUCAACAUCUCAAUGCCUAAAGCUCAAAAGCCACAACCCCUUGGUGUUUUGAGAGUAGUUCCUAGCUUCUCAACUUAGAUAUAUAUAUAUAGAGAAGAGAGAUAGAGAGAGACCGCGACUGAAAGAGAUAUCUUCCAGAUGGAUGAGAGGACGAGAUGAGAAUUCUCCAUCCAAGCUAAAGCUCAAAAAGCACCAACCCCGUGAUUGCCUUUGAUGAUUAUUCUAGCCUAAAUAUAUAUAUAUAUAUAUAUCAUAUAUAUAUAUAUAGAGAGAGAGAGAGAGAGAGAGAGAGAGAGAGAGAGUCUUGCUACUAUACUUAUGAGAACGAUCGUCUUCGUACUCAUAAAUCAUUUUCGAUGAUAGAGCUUCUGAAUCGACGAUUUGUACCAUUAAAUAUUAUUUAGAGCAUUCGAAACAUCUAGAAAUCAAAUUUCAUAAUUUUUCAACAUAAUUUAUCUUAUGAUCAAAAGAUCUCAAAAUUGACACUUUUAACAGUUGGUAUGAAAUAUUUGCUAGUUUAAUGGUAUAAAAAAAUCGAAAUCAGUUAAAUUUUUGAUAGAAAAUUCUAUUCACUAUCUAGAUAAAGAUCAAGAACUUCGAUCUUAAAUUGAAGUAUCCGAUCCUCUAUUUUUAGGGAGUCAUUCGAGUUUAACCGUUCAUUUUAUGCUCGCUUGAUGGACUUUAUUAUAAUUUUAAAAGAUUAUGAAACUUAUUUUUUAGAAAUUUCAAAUGCUCUAGAUUAUAUUUAACAAUAUGGAUCAUCAAUUCAGAAGCUUCAUCAUUGAAAACAACUUAUGAGUACGAAGGGCUCAAUACUCAUAAGAGUAUAAUAGUCCUACUCUCACUCUCUCUAUAUAUAAAACUAUGCUAGAAUAAUAUUAAUAGCACCAAGUCAUUGGUGCUAUUAGGUUUUAGGUUCUUGGAUGAAGAGAUGUGCGGUUAAGAUAAUAGUGAUCCCCUAGGGUUGAGUUGGUGGUUGUUUGAAUUGUAUGAUCUAAGGGGUGGAAAUGGUCAAAGGGGUAGAUCUAACGACAGAAAACUUGGUAGCACCAAGUGCUUCGUGCUAUUGAUAGCAUUGUAACUAGACUCUCUCUCUCUCUCUCAGUAUAUAUAUAUAUAUAUAUAUAGAGUGGGGCUACUAUGCUAUCGGAAGCACAGAGCCUUCCGUGCUUCCAGCUCGUUUUUGAUGUUGUGACUUUCGAAUCGUCGAUCCGCUCCAUUAAACUUGAUCUAGAGUAUUUGAAGUACCUAGAAAAUAAAUUUUAUGAUUUUACGAUAUCAUUUGCCUAGUGAACGAAGAGGCUCAAAAUCAAUGGCUGAAAAUAAAAAUCUUAAAAAAUGUAAUAAUAUGACAUUAAAAUUUUAAAUCAAAGAUAUUGAUCUUGUUUUAUAUAGUAUAAAGAAUUUUCUAUCAAAAUUUCACGUGAUUUGGAUAUUUCUACACCGUUAAACUUGCAAACGGCUCACUACGGCCAUUGAAAUUUGUUGAUUUUGAGCCCAUUCGAUCACUAGGCAAAUGAUAUCGAAAAAUAAUAAAAUUUAUUUUCUAGGUACUCCAAAUACUCUAGAUCAAGUUUAACGGAGCCGAUCGACGAUUUGAAAGUCGCAACAUCGAAAACGAGCUGGAAGCACGAAGGCUCCGUGCUUCCGAUAGCAUACUAGCCUCACUCUAUAUAUAUAUAUAUAUAUAUAUAUAUAUAUAUAUAUAUAUAUAUAUAGAGGCUAGGCUACAUCGCUAUAUGAUAGUACACUUGUCUAUCAAAUGAUUCUUGAUGAUAGAGAUUCGAAUUGAUGAUUGGAGCCGUUGAAGUUGAUCUAGAGUAUUUAAAAUAUCUAGAAACUAAAUUUCAUAAAUUUAAAAAUUAUUUACAUGGUGAAAAAUGUCGUAAAAUCGACAAUUUUGACAGCUUAUAUGAGCCGUUUGCUUGUUUAACGAUGUAAGCAAUCCAAAUUGCUUAAAUUUUGAUAGAAAAUUUUUUAUACUAUUUAGAUAAUGUUUAAAAACUCUGAUUAUGAAUUGAGAAGUCUAACCUUUAUUUAAGAAGAUUAUUCAUUUAUGACCGUUCAUUUUUAACUCUAGAUGACUUGAUAAGAUUUUUAAAUAUUACAAAAUUUGGUUUCUAAACAUUUCUAAUUGUGUAAAUCAUUUCAACGGUCGAUUAUCAAUUUGAAGUUCCGAUCAUUCAAACGACUUGAUAUACAAGUGCUCCUAUCCUAUUAAUAGGAUAGUAGCCGGACUAUAUAUAUAUAUAUAUAUAUAUAUAUAUAUAGAGAGAGAGAGAGAGAGAGAGAGAGAGUUGAACUGAAUGCUAUCGAUAGCAACGGACUCCGUUGCAACCACAUUUGUUUUUCGAUGAUGAAGCCUCCAAAUCGACGAUCGACACCGUUGAACAUGAUCUAUACCACUUAAAGUGUCUAGAAACCAAAUUUCAAAUCUUUUCGACAUCAUUAGCCUAAUGAUCAAUGGAUUUCAAAAAUUUUAAUUUUAAUGGUAGAUAUGAGGCAUUUUCUCGUUUAACGGUGUAAAACUAUCCAAAUCAAUUGAAUUUUUGUUAGAAAAUUCUUUAAACUAUUUAGAAAAAGAUCUAUGCUCUCGAUCUUGAUUAUAAAAUUCCUAUCAUCAUUUUUUAGAGGAUAUACAUUUUCAGCCGUUCAUUUUUACGCCCACUUGAUGGAGAAGAGAACAAUAUCGGAAAAGCAUGAAAUUUGAUUUCUAGAUAUUUCAAGGGGUAUAGAUCAUUUUCAACGGUGCCGAUCGUCGAUUUGGAGGCUCCAUCAUUAAAAACAAAUGGGUGGCAACGGAGCCCGUUUGCUACCAAUAGCAUUCCAGCUCAACUCUCUCUCUCUCUCUCUCUAUAUAUAUAUAUAUAGAAUUGAGCUCCUAUGCUUUUAAAAGUACCAAGUCAUUGGUGCUUGUAAGUUUUCAGCCCUUGGAUUAAAGAAUGUGCGGUUAGGAUGAUGUGGGCUCCCUAGGGUUUAGUGGUUAGUUGGUUGAAUAGUAUAAUCUAACGGGUGAAAAUGAUUAAAGGCGUAGAUCUAACAGUAAAAAAUUCACAAGCACCAAGUGCUUGGUGCUUUUACAAGCACCAUAGCCGGACUAUAUAUAUAUAUAUAUAUAUAUAUAGAACUAGGCUACUAUGCUAUUAAUAGCACCAAGUCAUUGGUGCUACCAAGUUUUUGGCCAUUGGAUUAAGAGAUGUGCGGUUAGAAUGAUGUGGGCCCCCUAGGGUUGAGUGGGUGGUUGGUUAAAUAGUAUGAUCUAAUGGCUGAAAAUGAUCAAAAAAGUAGAUCUAACGGCGAAAAACUUGGUAGCACCAAGUGCUUAUAUAUAUAUAUGAGUAGAGCUACAAUAGUAUCGGCAGCAUAGAGGAUCUGGUGCUUCCAAUUUUUUGGCGCUUAGAUCAACCACUUUAAUCAUUUCUAACCUUUGGAUUAAUACUAUUAACCUGUGGAGACCACUCAACCCUAGGGGUACUACUCAACUCUGGGGGGGGGUCGCCAUCAUCCCAACUAUAUAAUUUUUGAUCCAAUGGUCAAAAAGUUUGAAGCAUCAGAUCCUCUAUGCUUCCGAUAGUAUAGUAGCUCUACACUAUAUAUAUAUAUAUAUAUAUAAGAAGGGAAGAAAACCUACAGCUAUCGUGUCUCCAUGCUACAUAUGCUCAAAAUAGGACAACUGAUGGUAUGAGUAUGCAUCAACUACUACAGGAUACUCGAAAGCAUAACCCAAUCUCACUGAUUGACUCAAGGAUUCGAUCAAGCCUGCACCUACCUACUGCCACGACAUAACUUUUGUAGGUGGCCCGUUAAUAUAUAGGUUGCCCACCAAUGCUACUACAACAUCAACGCGAAAGUCAGACUCUGGAGCGGCACUCGAGGGUGGCGACUUCACUGAGUAAACAACGCAUAUCUUUAUCGAGCUCAAAUAUGGCUAAUGAAGGCUAUAGUCAAAGCAAUGAUCAACCAGAUUAUAAAGAAUACCAUUCACGUGUUCUCGACACAAUCUGGAAUGCAACUAGCCUAUCCAAACCACUGUAUUGACCCAUGACCCAAAAAAACAAGUCACUCCACUGUCACACUCAAUCUCACAAAUAACUCACUUACAACUUUGCAAAUAAUAGUAUAGUCACUAGCUGCUACGUGCUGACUGUGUUGGAAUUCUAUAAUGGUUCAUACAACAGGGAAUAAAUUAGAUUUCAGAUUAUAGCUAUUAGAACAAAGUUAGCUUCAGGUUAGCCUUUGAACAUCCAACCCUAUUUCUCUUCUAUUUCCUCCUCCCUCACUCUCCUUUUCCCUCUCUCCCUUAGAAGCUUCAGGUUAGCCUUUGAACAUCCAACCCUAUUUCUCUUCUAUUUCCUCCUCCCUCACUCUCCUUUUCCCUCUCUCCCUUAGAAGCUUCAGGUUAGCCUUUGAACAUCCAACCCUAUUUCUCUUCUAUUUCCUCCUCCCUCACUCUCCUUUUCCCUCUCUCCCUUAGAAGUAAAGGAGCCCUAAAAUCUGCAUUAUUGAAGCUUAGAGAUCCACCCCCUUGGGAGCUUUGGGAAGGUCAAAGGCAUCAAGAGGAAGCUUUUGGAGAGAGAAGAUGUCAACCUUACCGAUGUUUCUUGUGCUAGGAAGAGAAGCAGUGAGUUAAAAUUUUAGGGUUUAUUUUGAAGGUUUUCCCAAACCUAGGAUUUUUGGGUUCUAACUUGGUUAGAACUUAUUUUUGGCAUUUUCAUGUUAUUCUAAGGAGAUUAAGGAUCACCCCUUACAAAAGAUCUAAAAGAAGGUAGGAAAUAUCACCGAAAUGAGUUUGAUCUCCUCUUUUAUUUAAAGCUUUUUUGGUUGCAUACAUUUAUUAUGAGUCAUUUGUAAACUAAAGUGUAUUUUAGUUGCAUGCUAUGGGGAUCUAAUGGGUCAAAAUAGCAUGUCACGUCCUGAGCCCCUAGUUGGGCUAGCUUAGGCACACGCAACAGAGCCAUCGAAAGAGCAAGGCUUUCCUCACUGCAAGAAGCAAAAACAUACAUAAAUCUGUAGAAUAUAAUACAUGAUAUAGGUACAAUUGAGCAUCAGAGUAAUACUCCUAAAUUAAACCAUUACGGUUUGAAACUUCAUUAGAUUAUAACACUUUAAAAUUUACAUAUCAACACUCUCCAAAAUAAUAAAUAGUCUUGCUUUCUAUAGAAAGAGGUACUUUCAUCUAGACCGACUAACCACGGUCUAUCUAGCUCGUGACAUCUUUGCGGCCAUCACGGGCCUCGUCGAUGGUAGAGGGAUCUGAAAAGGUGUAAACAACAACAGGGUAGGAACUUUAGAUAAGUUUAUAGUGGGUGCAACCGCCGAAAGUGGCACUCCACCGUCACUUGGUCCAAGGGAGGCAUCAAUGGACAAUAAACAUAAAUAAUAUCUUUUUCUACAACAGAAAUGAAAGUAAAUACAACUAUUAGGCCUCAAAUAGGCAUACAAUAUGUCACCAUAUUAUCUCAUGCCGUUGGUUUUAUGUUUAACCCAACUAGUCUCAUGCCUGUAACCACCCACUUCAUUCGUUUCACUUUUCACUACACUCCACACGGAGAGUCAAAGGUUAAUAGCAUCCUUCCCACAGAUAAGCACUUGGCAUUGAAGGAGAUCGGCAUCACCAAGUAUAGUAGGGAGUCGAGAGGAUUGACAUCUCCCAAUUUGGAGUAAGGCAUUGAAGGGAAUUGGUAUCACCCAAUAUGAUACUUUCCAAAGGUCGCAAUUUAUAUCUUAAUUAAACACUAUGUUCUCAUGACUUCCAGGAUUGUCCACAAUGUCCACUUACAUGUGUUCUUGUUCUCUAGUUUUAAGUUUACCUACAGUUCCAUGCCUCUAUUGUCCUCACCUUAGGUUUCAACCUAGGUUAAAUGCCAUAUUUUCCUCAACCUAGGUUCCAUCCUAAGUUAUAUCUCACUAUCAUAUCACCUAUGUUCCAAGUUCAUAUAGCACUUUGUUUACAUGCAACAUGCACUUCCCCUUCACAUGGCAAAAGAUUGGAAACCCUUUUGUUUUCUAUGUCAAAGGCUCUUUAGCACACAUGAACUCUUAGAUCUCAUAACAUACAAAUUAAAGAUGCUAUUGUUUACUUUUACCUAUAAUAUAUGAAUAUGAAUAAAAAAAGGUUUUAGACAAAGAGGAGAUCUCAUUUCGAUGAUAUUCCCUAUCUCGGAUCUUCCUAAAGAAAUGCUCCUUGAUCUCUCAAGAACCCCAAGAAAACAUUAAAACUAGUUCUAACGAAGUUAGAACCUCAAAAUUCUAUCUUUUGGAGAAUAACCCCUAAAAUAACACCUACAAACACCAACUCACCUCUUUUCUCCAAAUAGGAGAAAUGUAGGUUGAGAUGGUUGCCUUCUCUCUUCAAAUACUUCUCCUUGAUACCCUAGAUCUACUCCAAACCUCUAGAGAGAUGGAUCCAAUAGAUCUCACAAGGGGACAGAGCUAUGGUUUCUCCUAUUUUUGAGAGAGAAAGAAGAGAGAGAGUUAGAGAGAAAUGUGUGAGAUUAGAGUUUUGGCUAUUGAAUGAGUAUUUAUAGAAGUUCUAUAAUUGCACUUUAACCCUCCAAAUAUUCCUAUUUGUAGCUGACCAAAAUCUGCUAUUCACAGAGUAUAGUAUCGUUAUGCGGAUUUCAAUAUCAGUACACAACUCAAAUGUCUCCACACUCCAGACCAAUUCCGCAGAACCCAAAUGUUGGUUUUCUUUAUUUUCUAUUGUGUAUCGGUACUCGUCCAUUUUAGUAUCAGUACUCAUCCAAUUUUUUAGUACCAGUACUCGGGACAAUUCCAUAUAGCCCAAGAGCUUUCCCGCCCUCCAUGCAACCGAAUACCGGCACUUCACUCCCGUACUGGUACUAUCGAUACUGGUACUCAAUGAAAAAUCUGUAGUUUGCAGAUGUGACUCUUCAACAUCUAUUUUCGCACUAUUUUUGUGCCGAAAAUACUCUAAUGCUUCCCAAACACCAUAGGGAUCAUCUAAAUAGUUUUCAUUACUAUUCUUCACCAAAACUCCGCUAUUUGUAAAAUUUCAAUACAUUACAUAGUAUGUGAGCAUUUGACCUAGGAAAAUAGGGUUUUAUCCCUUUAUUAUAUUACAAGAAAAUAUUUGACAUGUGUAUGUAAGUAUUAUGUGAACCAUCAAUAUAAGAAAUAAAUGUUGCAUUGAACUUAUGUUAUAGCUUAUGUCGUAAACAUAGUGACAUAUGGAUUCUAGGUAAAACUUGAAAUAGAAAACAAGAGAACAUGGAAAUGAACCAUAUGUAUCACCCCAGAGGUCAUGAGAAUUUAGAGUGUAAUAAUGAGAGAUGUUGCGAGCUUUUAGAAGUAUCAGACAGGGAGAUACCAAUCAUCCUCAACUCCCUAUGUUGCAUUGGGAGAUGUCAAUCACCCUCAACUCCCUAUGUAGUGCUUAGAGUGUUGAUCGUCCACGACUCCAAGUACCUACUGAUUGGAGAUAUGCGAUCUUUCUCGACUCUCUAUGAAGUAUGUAAUAAGAAAGGCAAAAUAAUAAGUUAGUUAAAGUUAACAAGUAAAUUGAGAUAAUAGUGUAGGCCAAUGACAAGAUAAUUGUCACGGUCUGGGCUCCAGCAGAAGGCUACUCAGGAUGUGCAUAGAUCCACCGUGUGCACAAGGUACUUUCGGUGCACACAAGGUGUCUAUAACAAACAAUGCAGAAAAGAGAUAUAUACACAUCCUAAAUAAGGUGAUUUGAGCAUAUAAGCAUAAACUAAACUAACACAAGAUGUAAAACCCUAUACUUUUAAACCUCUUGUUUUGACUCCUAUUUUAUUAAGUUUGGACCUUUUCGUAAUUUUCAAUCUUUGAGGGACUCGGCGGCAUUUUGUUACCUAAUUAGUACCUAAAUUAAUUUACCCUAGACAACCCUCACCCGAUCUCUUUUUCCCCUCCCGUACGAUUCUCUCUCUCUCUCUUCUCUUUCACCGCGUCCGUACGUCUCUGCCGCUCCGCACGUGCGCGCGCGACGCUAUCCGAUCCCUACCGUCGUCGCCGUUAUCCGUGGCCGCCGUUGCCGCAACCCUUUUGUUUGAUCUCUAUCGGCAUUUUUGGUUCGUCGUUGACGGUAUCUCGUCAUUGUCGUCUCCGUCUUUGAAGAGGUUCUUUUUUUUUAAUCUCUUUUAUCUCUUUCACUAAAUCUUGAGAUCAUCCAACCUCCUUGUUCAUGAUUAUAUGAUUGUUCUUGAAUACUUAUCUAUUGAUGAUUGGAUUUAAAACUAUCAAAAUCUGAUUUGCUUUGAUCUAAAUAUGUGUUAUUUGAACUAUCAUUUUAUCUUGUAUCCCUAUCUUAUUUAGUUAUAUAAAUUUUUCAUAUUCUACAUACUUCUUGUAAUGCUCCUUGCAUGUUCGAUAAAAUGCCUAAGAGAGGGCGAACCUUAUUUUUGUUUCUAAUUUCGAUCCCAUCUAAUUAUAAAUUGUCAAUCAAUGUUUCAACAUCUGAAAACCCUCUUUUCGAGCAUUAGAUCCUUCGUUUAUUAUUUAAAACUUCAUUCAUCUUAUCUUGUUUCUUUGAAUAUUUUAAUCCUCGAAACUCAUCAUCCUCUUGAUUGCUAAUUGAGUUUCGUCGAAUGUAUUAUUCUAAAUCUCUUUCGUGCUCCGUCUUGACCUUUUUGCAUGCAUUUGUAGCCGACAUUGUCGACCUAUGUGAACCUAUCCGAGUUCAGAUUUUUGUAUAAGCUUGCCUUCUAAAUGUAUAUGUAUAUAUAUAUAUAUUAUUUUUGUAACUUUAUUUUUGAGUAGCUUAUAGAGAACCAUAUAUCUCUAUUUUAGGUUCCAACGAUUGAUUUUUGUGCGAUUUUCGGCUGGAUAGCUUCUUAGCUUAGAAGCCGCUUUUGAGAUAAGCGACCGGACACCCAUUAGUUUUUCGCUAAAUAAUUUAGAAAAAUACUUUGAUUGUGUGAAAAUCUUUAUUUUGUAGAUUUUAAAAUUAAGGGUCAAGCAUAUAUUAAAUAUUUCUGUAAACUAAGUUUCAACUGUGAUUGAAAGAUUCUUUUAACAAAAGAAAUUUGAAAUUUGAUAAUCUGUUCGGUAAGUUAGUGACUGGAUAAUUUUAAAUUAUAAUGUCUCUUGGUAUUCUGCUAUGCUAAUGUUGGCCAUGUCGACAUGUAUUUUGUUAUAGAAGCGAGCUUCGUCUUUGUAUUGCGCCUUCGGGUGCCUGCUCCCAUCUGUGCCUCUAUUUUGUUUAUGCCUUCGGGUGCCUCUAUUUUGUACAUGCACUUUCGGGUGCCUCUGUUCUGUUUGCACCUUCGGGUGCUUCUGUUCUGUUUGCGCCUUCGGGUGCCUCUGGAUCUCGCCAAUGGAUCAUAUGAUAUAGUUAGUUGCCGGAGACUUAAUAUUUAUUUCGUUUAUACGUUGAAAGAGAAAUGCUUUGUAAAGUUAUAGUUUCAAUCCGAUCUGAAUUUUAAGUUUGAUAAUUCUUAUUUUCUGAAAUUUUGUAAAUUAAAAACCAGUCACUUAAAUUAAUUUUUGUAUUUAUUUAUUUAUAUGCUUAAUCCGACUAAUGUGGUGUAUGGUUGCUUACCCAGGUACCGAGACUAAUUUACCGGGCAGGGCUGAGAUCGAGUAAACAUUAGACGUAGCUAGUUUUGAUUUUUAGUUCCUUUUGUUUUUACAUAUAGUAUUUUCCGAUGUGAAUCGUUGGACUUCAUAAAUGAUCGUUUGUUAUUUGCUUUUAUUUCGUUAUUUCUUCGUACCCACUUUUAUUACUUAUGAUAUUUUGUGGACCGAAUCUCUUUUGUGAUUCGUAGUAAGCUUAGUUUUAUAGAUGUUAGAAUUCCGUUUGAUUUUAGUUAAAAUUCAAUUUCUUAGUCCCAUCUUAUGAUUCUUUGGAUUUAGUAGAAAAUGGUAAAUCAUCUUUAUGCUAGUUUCCGUCUGAUUCUGUAGCAUUGCAUAUUUGCUAGUUUAGCCAGUAUGCGGCGUCCGUUACGCCUCGGGUUUGGGGCGUGACACAAGAAUAGUAACCACAACUAUCCAAAUCAUAAGAUUUACAAAAUGAUUGUCCUCUCAAAAUAAUAUAUCUCAUGAACAUAAGGUGGCCACUACAAAAGUAUAAGUACACCUCUCACAACAAAAGCUAAAAGAAAGGUGCCUCGGGUCCACCUUUGGGCACUCGACCAGUAUGCACUAGCUAGACACGUACCCUUACCGCGAUUCUUAGCCUCUCCCACAUAUGGAAGGCUCUAAAAUGAAAACCAACAACCAAUAAAGGUAAGAAUUAUUAAACAAUAGUUUCCAAUUGGUAAGACGCUGAGAGAGGCGAAAUACACUAGGUCAACUGAGACAUAAAUAAUAUAACUACGAAAAUGAAAAGCAAAUAUAAAUAACUAAGAUGAAGUAGCUCUCUUACUAUCAUGCCUCUAUGCAACUAUAUCAAUCAACAUGUAUGUAGCUCUACUACUAGCGAGUAUACAAGUAUAUAAUAAGAUCUACUUGUUGCUACUAGAUCAGUAAACAUGUAUGACUAAUACUAUGUAUGCAUCAACUACCAUGAUGUCCAAUAUCAAAUUGAUUUAACUUUUACCCAAUGUCGAGGACUUACACAAGGUAACGUCCCCGCUUGCGCCGUCCAUAAUGGUCCCAUAGUAGUCAAUGUUCCUCCUCUAGGAAUAAGACUCCCCCACGGCGUCCUAUUUUGACGCCCAAUCUCGCACGGCGAGCCGUCAUGUCUAAACUUCGGAGUGUCGGCUUACAGGGAACGACCCUCAAAAGCAUAUGCAAAUAAGUAUAAGGGCAAGAAGGUGUAGUCGCAUAUGUCAUGUCAAAGGACAUAGAGUCUCAAUAAUUAUGUCUAAAAUAUGAUAUCUCAAUUUUUGACCCCUAUAUCAGAUACAAUGUUACAUAUGUCAUAAUCAAUGCCUCAACUUAUUUGAAGGAGAAUUCCUAUCAUUGUUACAACGUAUCUCUAACAUGCAAGAAUUACACAUUUCACCUUAACUAUAGCAAGUAUAAACGAUAAAUUACUCGUCUCAAUCAGAUGAUUGUACUUAUCAAUGAAGCUCAAGCAUAAAAGUUAUAUGCCACAUAUAUCCCAACUCUACUAUAACAUGUGUAGGAAUAAAUUACUCAUGCCACAUCCAAAUGAGAUGUAUAACUAUCAACUAAACUCAUAUGCAAUGCCAUGCAUGUACUCUACUAUAUAUGUCUCUACUACAUAGAGAAUAAAAAUCACAAUGCAAGAAGUGGCCAAACCACAUGCUCAUAAAUUCAAUGAUAUCAUGAAUUGUAUGCUAGAACAUCUGUUAAGCCCUAUGAAACUAUAGAAGACAUAGGGGGAGUUCAUUAAUUUCGGUGAGGUCAAACCCACCGGAUAGUCACCAAGACUUGAUCAAUCCCCAAAUCAAAGUUGCCUCAUUGAUUUUUUUUGUAUCCUACAAAAAAAUUCAAGGGGUUACAAACGUCCAAAAAUCUCAUCACGAAAUUUACCAAAAAUCACAAGAAAAAUAGGUGAAAUGUAUCUUAACCAAGAAAACCUUGUCCAAGCGCCAAAUCAAAGCAAUAGAGCUUAAGUUCCAAUCUAUAAGAGUGUUCUACACUCAUCAAUUUCAACCCAAAAGCCCACAUUUGAAAUUUUCAAAAUAAAUCCUAGUUUUUAUAAAAUUAGGUUUUCUACUAAAAUCUUCACAAAUCUCUCAACUAGAGAAUGACGAAAGGUUACUAACCUUGAUCAAAGCUCCAAUCCAACAUUAAAAUGCUAGGGUUGAAGUCUAGGGCUCUAAAUAACUCUCUUCUUCAAGUCCAAGCCUCACUCCAAGCUCUUGGUGCAAGCAUCCACGGAGGAGAUGAAGGAAAGAAGAGGAAUCUAAAGAUUAAAAUAGAUUGGAGGAGAAAAUAUUCCAAGAAAAAAAAUGAGAGAAACUCACCUCUUUCUUUUCUCUUGCACCUUCCAAAUGAAGGGGAAACAAGGGAAAUGAAGGGCCUUAAAGCAUGUAGCAACAAUAUCCACUUAGGACCCUCAAAGAGUAAGAAAUUAUUGCACAAUAGUCCCAGACUAUAGAGGGACCGGUCCCUGUAGGAAGGUCCAGUUCUCGAAGUGUAUACUUCCAGUCUACGCAGCCAAAGACCGAUCCUUUCCUCAAGGUCCGAUCUUUGAUCUUCGGAAUAGUAUUUUGCAACAUCAAAGUUUGGUCCUUCUAGUCAAGGUCCGGUUCCCGAGACUCUGAAAGCUCAGGUAUGGUUUGUUCCAAAAAUUGAGUUUUCAUGCUAUUUCACACUAAAAAUAUUCUAACACCCUCCAAAAACUACCGAAAUCAUCUGGAUAGUACCAAAUACUAUCUCACUCACUAGAACUCUGCAAUUUGCGAAAGUCUAGUGUGCUACACCUCCCCUCCUAAAAAAGAGUUUUGUCCGUAAAACUAAAGGACAAAUACCUAAAUCCUACAUCUGAAAUAGAUGAGAGAAGUGUUCCUGUAGCACACUGUCCAGCUCCCACAUAGCCUCGUGUUCCUCGUGGUUGCUCCAAAGCACCUUUACAUAAAGUAUCGCGCGAUUCCAAAGUUUUCUCACCUUGUAAGCUAAAAAUCCACACCAGAUGCUCCUCGAAGCUCAGAUCCUCUUGUAGCUCUAACGGAGCUAAGGCCAUCACGUGAGAUGGAUCGAUCACAUACUUCCGAAGUGUCGAGAUAUGAAAUGCAUUGUGUACUCCAAUAAGUUCAGUAGUAGAGCAAGCCGAUAUGCCAUCGGACCAACACGCUCCAAAACCUCAAUGGUCCAAUAAAUUGAGGGCUUAGUUUUCAUCGAAUUCCAAAUCUCUUGACUCCUCGAGUCGGCGAUACCUUUAAGAAGGCAUAAUCUCCUACUAGAAGUUCCAAUUCACGCCGACGCUUAUCAGCAUAACUCUUUUGUCGACUUUGUGCUAUAAUCAAUCAUUCACGAGCGAGUUGAACCUUGUCCUUGGCCUCUUGAAGUACAUCAAGGCCCAAAACUAGUCUUUCAACCACCUCACUCCAAUGUAGAGGUGAUCGGUACUUUCUUCUAUAAAGAGCUUCAAAUUGUGCUAUCUUAAUACUUGCUUGAUAACUAUUGCUAUAAGCAAACUCCGCUAUGGAUAGGUGUUGAUGCCAACCACUCUGAAAAUUCAAAACACAUGCUCAGAGCAUGUCCUCCAAAGUCUGAAUAGUAUGCUCUGACUGCCCGUCGCUCUUAGGGUAGAAAGCAGUACUGAAAUCCAAUCAUGUGCCUAGUGCCUCAUGAAGAAUCCUCCAAAACUAAGAUGCAAACCUCGGAUCUCGAUCUAAUAUAAUAGAAGUAGGCACUUCGUGAAGUCGCACAAUCUUAUCGAGAUAUUCUUGGGAGAGUUUUUCUCUAAACCACGUAGUGUGAAUAGGAAUAAAAUGCACUAAUUUCGUCAACCUAUCCACAAUCACCCAAACAGCAUCAUACCCGGCUUGAAAGCGAGGCAAACCCAUAACUAAAUCCAUGGUGAUUCUCUCCCACUUCCACACGAGAAUAGGUAAACUUUGCAACUUGCCCACGAAAAGUUGAUACUCGGUCUUCACUUGUUGGCAUGUCAAAUAGUGUCACAAACUUUCCAACAUCCUUUUUUAUGCCGGGCUACCAAUAAAGCAACUUUAAAUCUUUAUAUAUCUUGGUGGCCCUCGAAUGAAGUGAAUACGUUGCUCGAUGCACCUCCUUCAAAAUUUUCUCUUUUAUCUUUGUAUCCGCUGGUACACAAAGUGAGCCUCAAAACCAAAGUGCAUCGUGAUCAUCCACCUGAAACUCACCGGCGCAGCCUUUAUCGAUACUAGAUCGAAUUUUUUGCAUAUUAGGAUCUUGAACUUGUUUCACCUUGAUUCUUUCCAUCAAGGUUCGUUGCAACACUAAUGCCAUCAACCUCUUGGGUGCCACAAUCUCCAACUCUAGCUGUCUCAUCUCUUCAAGUAGCGGCAGCUGGGUAGUGAUCAACAUCACAAAGUUCUCCACCAAUUUGCAACUUAGGGCAUCUACCACAAUAUUAGCUUUUCUUGGGUGGUAGAGAAUAGUCAAAUCAUAAUCCUUGAGUACCUCCAACCAUAGUCGAUGCCUCAAGUUUAAUUACUUCCGAAUAAAGAUGUACUUCAAACUUUUAUGAUCAGUAAAUAUCUCACAAUGCUCUCUAUACAAAUAGUGUCGCCAUAGCUUUAAAGUAAAAACUACGGCCUCCAACUCCAAAUUGUGAGUGGGAUAAUUUCUUUCAUAAUCCUUCAAUUGACGAGAGGCAUAAGCAAUUGCCUUCUCAUUUUGCAUUAAAACACAUCCCGACCCACUAAAGGAUGCAUCACUGUACACCACAUGUCCGGCAUAUAUAAUAGGCAAAGCCAAAAUUGGGGCGGUUGUCAACUGUGUCUUUCAAUUCCACGAAGCUUCUCUCACACACAUCAUUCCAAACGAACUUGAUUCCUUUAUGUGUGAGUCGAGUAAGAGAAGUAAAUAACUUAGCAAAUCCCUCAACGAACUGCCUAUGGUAUCAGGCUAAAUCGAGAAAACUCUGAAUCUCGUUGAUAUUAGGUGGUCUAGGCCAAUUCUUAAUUGUCUCAAUUUUCUUAGGAUCCAUAGCUAUAUUAGCCUUUGAUAUAUCAUAUGUUCCAAGUAUGCUCGCUCUCGUAGCCAAAACUUACACUUCUUUAAUAUGGAGAAGAGUUUCUUUUUUCGAAGUAUUUGCAAUCCUUUUCUCAAAUGAUCUUCAUAUUCUUUAUCACCUCGAGAAUACACCAAAAUAUCAUCGAUAAACACCAUAAUGAAUCUAUCCAAAAAAGGCUUAAAGAUAUAGUUCAUCAAAUCCAUAAAUAUUGCAGGGGUAUCAGUGAGCCCAGACGGCAUAACGGUAAACUUUUAAUGUUCAUAUCAUGUCCAAAAAGUCGUCCUAGGGACAUCCUCAGGCUUAAUCUUAAGCUGAUGAUAACCAGAUUGCAAAUCAAUCUUUGAAUACACUUUUGACCCUUGGAGUUGAUCGAACAAAUCAUCAAUUCUUAGCAAUUGAUAUUUAUUUUUAAUCGUGACUUAAUUGAGUUCAUGAUAAUCUACACAUAAUCGAAACGAUCCAUCCUUUUUCUUAAAAAAUAAAAACUGAUGCUCUCCAAGGGAAAACACUAAAGCCUAAUGAAGCCUUUCUCCAACAAAGCCAGUAAUUGGGCCUUUAGCUCCUUCAACUCCGCCAGCGCCAUUCUAUGAGGUGUCUUUGAGAUUGGGGUAGUUUCAAGAAUAAGAUCUACAACAAAUUCACUCUCUGUCAUGAGGCAUACCUAGCAACUCCGCCGGAAACACGUGCACAAACUCCUUUGUUCAAGAAUAAGAUCUACAACAAACUCGAUCUCUGUUAGGAGGCAUACCUGGUAACUCUGCCAAGAACACGUCCACAAAAACUCCCUCACAAUCGUGAUAUUUUCAACCCUCGGAGUCUCACCACUUCUAUCUACAACGGUAGUCAAGAAGACUACGCAUCUACCCUUAAUCAACUGUUUAACUCAUGGAUAGGAAAAAGCUUACCUGUCCAGCAAGUCUAUUGCACGUGCCCGAACAAGUCCAAUUGGCGAGACUCGGGCAUGACAACCAUGAUUUGAAAAUGAUAUGUUAAGUCAGGAUCAGAAUAACAAGACUAGUGAGAGGAAACUCACAUCAUCUGGUGCUUGUGAAUGUUCUUGAUGUGAACAAGAAUAUCAGAGAUUAAAAGGUGAAAGAAUAUGAUACCUUCGGGAUUUAAAAUAAUCCUAUAUAUAAAGCAUAAUAGAACUAAUCUCUUAAUCUCGUUAUACCAUUUUGGGUGAUGACUAAGCCUAAGAGGCUAAAAGGAUUAAGCAUGUUAGAACUAAAAUCGUUUUAGAAUGGAUGACCCCUUUGAAAAGCGGGGCAUCACAUAUCAUUAUACCUACAAUAUGGACCAUAAAUGCCCAAUCCAACUACAUAAACGGAAGGAUUUUUAAUUACAAAACGUCAGUUGUUUUAACUUCAAAUUUUAAACUACUCAUGACCAUUCUAAAAAUCAAGGCACCGUAAAGACCUUUGAGAGAGUGCAGUUUUAUUUUGAGAAAUAUUAUCUAUACACUAUAUAGGGGCGUAUAUCUUCCACUCUUACAUCAUAUUAAUAAUACCUCCAUAGAAGUUUAGUGAAUUAAAAAAAUUAUAAGAUAAAUGACUUAAUAUAAACCAUAAUAAAUUAAAAUGUAAUAUUUACACUUAAACUAUUAUAAACCAUAAUAAAUUAAAAUGUAAUAUUUACACUUAAACUAUAAAUAAGGGUAUGAAUAGCGUGGCUCUUUUAUUUUAUCUUACUGCAGGUAUCAAGAUGCCUAUUCACAUCACAUUUGGUUUUAUAACCGGUUUGGCAAUUAACCAAUAAUAAUAAUCAAUACAUAUAAUAAAAGGGCAACCUUAAAGUACCACGCGUCGCCUCCCCAGCAACCCCCCCUCCUUCUCGGUUCCCAGGGAGGGGCGGGCUCUCUCUCUUUUUUUCUCUUUCUCUCUCUCCCUCCCUCUCCCUCUCCCUCUCCCUCUCCCUCUCCCUCUUCCUCUCUCUCUCUCUGUGCUCGCAUGCCCGCCCCUCCUCGGGUUCGACCACAUGGCAGGGUGCCUCCCCCCCCCCAAGCUCUGUCUCUGUCUGUCUCUCUCUCUCUCUCUCUCUCUCUCUUCUUCUCUCUCUCCUCUCUUCUUCCUCUCCCCACCACCCCCCCCGAUCUCUCUCUUCCCUCCCACCCCCCCCCCCUUCCGGCUCUCUCUCUCUCUCCCCUUCUUUUCCUCCCCCUCUCCCGCGAGGGCGGCGAGGUCGCGGGGCAGGCGCGGGCGCGGGCAAGCGGUCGCGCGGGUCGUGUGCUGCGUCGGCUCUAGCGCGGGGCCGGCAGGCGCGGAGCGCGGGGCUCUGAGAGGGCGUGUGGGGAGCGGGCGGCACGGGCGUGCGGGGAGCAGGCAGCGCGGGGGCCCAGUGCGGGGGCCCAGUUCUUUUUCCUUGUGGGACCCACUCCUCUGUCUCUCUCUGUUUUACUUUCCUUUUUUUUCCCUUUUUUCCUUUCCUAACACUCCUUUUAGAUGUCGUUGGAUGCAUACAGAAAAUUUUUAAACUUAAAUUAAAUUAAAUUAAAUUUAAUAAUAAUAAAAACCCCAAGCCCUAAGGAAUAUAAUCACCGAAAUAUUUUUUAUUUUGGAGAAGAAAUAAUUUCGUAAAUACCUCCCUUAUGUACUAUAAUAUCGCUAAUAGCUUCCACAAUUUAAUAAUAUCACAUCACGCAUGCUUUCUUAAAUAGUCACAAAUAUCACAAACAUAUCUGGUGAUUAAACUCCGCUCAAAAUAGCCAUUAUAACUAGAACUAGGCUAAUAUACUAUUAAUAGUACCAAGUCAUUGGUGCUUCCAAGUUUUUGGCUAUUGGAUUAAGAGAUGUGCGGUUAGAAUGAUGUGGGCUCCCUAAGGUUGAGUGGGUGGUUGGUUGAAUAGUAUGAUCUAACGGGUGAAAAUGAUCAAAAAGGGUAGAUUUAACGGCGAAAAACUUGGUAGUACCAAGUGCUUCGUACUAUUAAUAGUAUAGUAGCCGGACUCUUAUAACUACAAAAUUCUCAUUUAACCCUUAUCCAUUGUAUUGUUAAUAACCCUUAAAUUUUCUGUCGGCUCACAUUCAAAACUUUUUUUAAAAUGUCUCUAAAUUUUUACUGAUAAUUUUCACCAUCACGCAUACAUCAAAUGAAUAAUUUAAAUUUAAAGAUUUGAAUUUAAAUUUUAAACUGUAUUCAAAAUUUGAAAUAAAAUUUCAAGUUGAUUUCAAAUCUAAGUUUGAAUUUGAAUAUCAAUUUCAAAUUCAUAUUUUGAUUUUGAAUUUCAAAAGAAAAUUUUGAAAUUAAGUCUAAAAAUAAUUCAAAAUCUAGAUUUGAAAGUAAAAUUAAGUACAAAAUCUCAAGUAGGUCAAACUAACGUUUCUCUCCUCAAAAGAGUAAUAGAUAGAAAUCAAAAUUGAAUUUCCAUCUAAAAUUUGAAUCCCAAAUUUAAAAUUUAAAUUCAAAAAUAAAAUUCAAAUUGAAAGUUAAAUUUGAACAAAUCUAAGAUUAAAUUUUUAAAUCCAAAUUUGAAUUAAAAAAUUCUAAUUAUAACUUUUAAAACUACUUAGGAGUAAAAUUAAUAUUUUAAUUAUUUAAUAAUAAACUAGCCAAGAAGUAAGAUUAGGUUAACAGUGUGCGUUACAGUAUUUAUAAUAUAUAACUCAAUAUAUUGAAAGAGCCAUACAAAGNCAAAUUUGAAUUAAAAAAUUCUAAUUAUAACUUUUAAAACUACUUAGGAGUAAAAUUAAUAUUUUAAUUAUUUAAUAAUAAACUAGCCAAGAAGUAAGAUUAGGUUAACAGUGUGCGUUACAGUAUUUAUAAUAUAUAACUCAAUAUAUUGAAAGAGCCAUACAAAGAUAAUUUAAUAUUUUUAAAGACAUUUAAAUAUUUUUCCAGACAUUUAAAAUAAUUUUCAGCUUUUGUGUAGUUAUGAAAUUGACCCUUUCAAAAAAACCAAUAACGGUGACAAUAUUUAACGUGACCUUGUGUAGGUCUUAUUUUACUUUAUAGGACCUCUACAGCUUUCUAUCAAAAGAAAAGACCCAGAUUGUUGUUUCAUCGUUAAGAUAAUAAAUUCUUUUUACUUCACUUCUUCCAUUCGGGAGAAUCAACAGCUAAGAACACUAAAAAAGGGGGUCGAAAAAAAAAAAACAAAACAAAACAAAACAAAACAAAACACAAAAAGGUACUUUAGCUUGCUCUCGAUGAAAAUACAACUUGUCAGAUAUAAGCUCAGAAACGACUUGAUAAGACCAAAGAGCAUAACAACGGUUCAGCAGUAACACAAGUCAAAAAUGUUCAGAACAGGGGGGAGGCGAAGAAAAGCCGCAGCAAAAGAUAAUAACAAUAAAUUCUUCCCCUAUUAGGCACCGAAAAAUAAAGCUCGAUCAGAGAACUAUUUCACUUGAUCUUCUUCUUAGGUCUCAGCUGGAGAAAAGGAAAAUAUAUUUGAUCUGAUCAAAAAGGGCAAACAAAUGAGUCGUACACAGCAGAUCAGAAGAAAGAAUAGUAACUAAAAAGGCCAAACUAGACUCUUCAAACAAGCGUAAUUCUUUCGGUAGAAAGAUCAUGGAGAACUCUAAAAGCACACUUCGCAAUGUAAACAUACACUUAUGGGAAAAUUUCCUCACUACCCUUCCAAAUAGCUCUAAUAUCAUAAAUACCCUUUAAAAUUUUGAAAUUUCAUAUUUGCCCUCAAAAAACAUAAAAAUUUUCAAAAAUGCCCUUAUAACUAUCAUUCCGUCGUGUUUAGGCAUAACAGAUUCAAAAUACCGAAUUUACCCUCCAAUGUAUUUUCAUCAAUACCCUCACAAAUUUUCUAAACAUUACAAAAUAACCCCUUAAUUUGAUAUUUUUGAUCAAAGUCUUCUUAAUAUUUUGUUCCUUGAAAUUGGAUUGAUUUUCGUCAAUUAAAUUACAAAUUUUAUCAACCCAUUGAUGGUUCCAACAAAUUUAAUAAUUUUAAUUACUUCGUAGAAGUUAAAAUAAAAAAAAAAGAUAAUAUGUAAUAGCUAACAGAGCAAUUUAAGUUAAAUAAAAUUUUAAAUGUAACUAACUAAAAUAAAUAAUUAAUAAAAGUUAAGAGCUAAAUAGUACUAAAGAAUAUCAGCGAACAAUGUUUGUUUAGAUGUUAAACAAAUAAUGAACAAAAGUUAGGGGUUAAAUAGUAAAUCAUAUAAUUAAUAUACCCUUCAAAAAUUUCUCAACUCAUGCACAAAAUAAACAUUUCAAAUCUUAACCACUAUUAGACCACCAACUCACUAAAAUUAAUAUGACCUGAAGAGACGGAAUAUACGGUGAGAGUAUUUUUGAAAGAAAGUAUGUAUUUAGAAAAGUGAUUAUGAUAUAACAAAAUUUAUAGGGGUAUUUAUAAUAUUUCUAAAAUUUAGAGGGGUACGGAUGAAAUUAACCCUUCAAACAAAUAGUGAACAAAUUAAGGGUAAAAUAGUAAUUUCAUAUUUUAAAGUAGAAUUAAAAAAAUGCCAAAAUGACGGAAGUUAGUGAAAAUUAACGGUGGGGGCAUUUAUGAAAAAAUAUUAUAUUUAGAGGGGCAUUUGUGAAAUUUAAAAAAUUCGAAGGGCAUUUAUGAUAUUUCAUAACUUUGUGAGGGUACGAAUGAAAUUAACCCUACACUUAUUAUUCUUAGGGAAAACUUCAAAUACCCCCUUGUGGUUUCACUUUUUCUAACUUUAGUACCCUGUGGUUUAAAGUGUAUCAAGUUAGUACCCUGUGGUUUUGCACUUUAUCACUUUAGUACCCUGUGGUUUAAAGUGUAUCAAAUUAGUACCCUAUGGUUUCGCACUUGCUCACUUUAGUACCCUGUAGUUUAAAAACCACAGAGUACUAACUUGAUACAAAAAUAAAACCACAGGAUACUAACUUGAUACAAAAAUAAACCACAGAGUACUAACUUGAUACACUUUAAACCACAGGAUACUAAAGUGAGAAAGUGCGAAACUACAGGGUACUAACUUGAUACACUUUAAACCACAGGGUACUAAAGUUAGAAAAAGUGAAACCACAAGGGGGUAUUUGAAGUUUUCCCUUAUUAUUAUACAUGAAAAAGGCAGUAGAAGAAAUGGGGCCCCAAAAGGUGGUAAACAUUUUCCUCUGAGGUUAAAAUGCAUGGAGAACCACCUUCAAGUACAGGCCAUUUUAAAAUGUAUGGAGACCCACCAAGUAUUAACAACUUUCUUUGUCUUAAUACGAGUAAUUUCUAUAUGAAAAAUGAAAAUAUAUGUCAAGUUUGAUAGCACCUGAAUAAAAUUCAGCGGCCCUAUCCAAUUUUAGGUGUCUAAACAGCAGGUUUCAGUAGCUAAACUUUUUUAUAUUAAUGUAAUUACCAAUCCCUCUAAUGGAAAAAAACCCAAAACAAACACAUGUUUAGAGGGUAUCAAAUAGAGAUGGUUGAUACUAUUGAGGCGGCCUCCAUACUCUUUUUUUCUUUUCCUUUUUAACCAUUAUUAGAGAAGGACCUCACCUGAUUGCUGUGGCCGCAUUUCUUCUUACGACAAUUAACAGCUCGCGGGUGUAACCGCGCAUAGCAUCUGUAGAAGAAAAACUUUUUCCUAUCAGCUCUGAAAUCACAAAAUUUAGAUGAAGGAAUUUACAAUGUGUUAAUGAUUUGCACCGGGUAAAGAACUAUGUUGAUCUUAGUGGCAAACAAGUACAAUACAGCGAAGAGAUACAAGUUAAGACUCUUGAUAUGGAGCUGCAGAGUAUUAAGUUUUCUAUUUAGGAGGAUUCUUUUCAUAUCACACGUAACAAAAUUACGGUUAACCCUAAUUUGAUCCUUCAAGGCUUUAACUUUGACCUUCAUAUUUAUUUCAGACGCAUAGAUUCAAUUAUAAAAUUCUUGUUCCUUAACUUUGUUAUGCAUAACAAUUAAGUCCUUUGGCAAGUAUACUAUAAUGAAAAGCUGAAAGACCAGCACUAAAUUAGUGACAUGUUAAAACAUAAAACUUGAGGAGAAAAAUAAAAAAAGGCUUUACAGGCCAGAAAUCUGGAACUGAAUUGUUAAAAUAGAAAUAACAAAGAUGCAAUUGAAAUUAGCAUAAUCUAAGGAUCAAAGCUCGGGCCAAAUUUCAGGGCCUAUACAUUUUGUAAUUAACCAAAAAUCAAAGGCAACAAUUUCAACUGUAGAAACUCACAAAAUAAAAAAAAAAAUUAAAUAAAUAAAAAAACUUAAAAGGGCUUCGUGCCACGGAGGCAUUAUGCAUUAGAAAGUGCAUCCAACAAAUCAUUUCUCCGACAAACAAGAUAUAAGAGUAUAAGACACACAAAGGUAUAUUUAAAACAGUCAAUACGGCAUCUUUAAGUUUAUUACAGAUGGAAUGAACCAAAAACUAAUAAUCUUAGAAUUGGUAUGCAAACCCUAACGAAAUCAACACAUCUCAUAAAAUCGGAGAUUUUGUAUACCUCAAAGAGCAGAAAUAAUAGUUAAGAAAUUGGCAGGUCAGAAAUUUUAAUAUGCCUCAAAGGUUUAGCUCAUAAGCUAUACUUCGCACAUCUAAUUGAUUCAUCCCUCCUGCCAAAAUAAAGACUCUUCGAUUGUUUGAAAGUAAAGAAAAUUUAGCUUACCUUGUAGGAACAUAAAUAUCCUACAACUGAAAUAUUUAAUCAUUUCAUUCGUUUUAGCACCUAACAAUCUUCCUAAUACAACCCAAAUCUCAAAUCCGUCUAACAUAGCUAAAGCAAUUGAUGCAAUAGAUCAUAAAAUCCCCUCGAUUAAUUUCUAAAGAAAUUGAUGCAACAGAUUAUAAAUCUCCUUGUUUAGGAAGUCAUUACUUUCCAUUAAUCAGAUAAGUGAAGCAAAAUCAUCAACUAGUGUAUUUCUUAUAUUUGAAAGUUAACCGUAAUUACUACUAUUAUCUUUUAGCAUUUAAAUAAUGAGAUUUAAGCUACAUGAACAGCGAACGCCUAGUUAAUCUUGAGUUAAGUAGUAAUUCCAAGAGUCCAGUGCAUUAUAUUUUCAUUCGAUUGAGAGAUAUAUAAUACAUGUUCUACCGGUGAAAAUCAACUGCAAUAAAAAUGAAAAGCAGAUGACAAAGUCAAAGGUAGACUCAAUUUCUGGCACCAUGGGAACCCUAUGGCACAUUAUUGGUCAUAGAGGCGAUAACCCACAGCUCCAAUGUUGAUUAGUUUUCUUUUCCCUUCUCUACCGAUUUCUCACAUUAUCAAGAUAAUUUGGUGUAAAGAAAAUAGAAAAAAAAUCCAAAUAUCAAUUAUUCUUAGAAGAGGUUAAGAAAAUAAAGAAAUAAGCCGUGAUUGAGAUGGAAUACUUUCUACAGAUCAUCUUGUCCUGGUUGUACUUCCGGGCAAGAGCCAUAAGCGAGGGCUCAAUGAUCCCACCUCUCAGCCUCAGCACCAAAUGUAGUGUAGACUCUGUUAUUAUUACCAAAAUACAGAGUACAUUACUCACAAACCUAACCAAAAAAAAAAAGAAAAACCACAAAAAAAAAAUGGUAAAAUGUAUGAGCGGUCUCAGCACCAUGCCAAAUUGCUUAGUCAUUAUCAAGGAUUAAAGUGCCGUGGCAUAGGGUCGUGCCGGAAACUUGCCGGCAUGGUACGGCAUGAUGCGUGCCGAGCCGUGCCUGUCAAAAAAAUUCUUAUAUGCCGAUACAUAAUAACAUGAAAUAUUUAUUUUCUUUAGCAACAAAAUAUUCUAACUAUUAAUUAUGUCUUUUUAUCACAUCUUUUGAACUUUAUUGAGGAAAUUACUUACUAAUUUAAAGAAUAGAGGGUUUUGAGCUGUGCCAUCGACACGAGGUCUGUAUCGUGCCGGUAUUUUGUUGGUACGGUACGGCACGGUGGAUACGGCCCGUACCGACGGGCACUUCGGUACGGGCACUUAAAACUGUGGUCAUUAUAUGUUUCAGUUAAACAUGUUAGUCGACUUUCAUAUUUAUUGCACUUCAGUUCUUGACCAUUAAGAAAGUUCAACUUUUUAUCACAAAAUAACCCUGAUUGAAGUAAAUUGUGAACAAGUGAGUCAUUUUUUUAGUUGGAGUCAAAUGACUAUUUCGUAAGAAAAGAUAGCUUUGAUUUUUUUUUUUUUUUUUGUUUUUGGGGGUGAAGAAUCGGAGACUACAUUACAAUGUAUGGCAAAGUACCAGAAAGUCAUUUUUGCAGGUUAAGGAAUAAAAUGGUCAUUUUGUAAGGAAAAAAUAGAUCUUUUCCCCCCCGUGGUAAUGACACUACUUAACACCCGAAUUUUUUAUGAGAUUCCUUUAGUCACGAAACUUAGCUUUUCCAACCGAGGCAUUAAACUUUGAUUUUCAUUUCAUUCAUGUCACUUCUCUAAUUUGGAUUUUUUUUUUUUUUCCGAUGAAGCAAUGAUGUGGCAGCUAAUCGAAACAACUGCAGGAUUAAAGAGCAAUAUACGCCAAAAAAAGUAUGUUUAUGAAAAAAGUACAACGACACGAAGAAGAGAUCAAAAGAAAUCGAAACAUAAACCUACAAGUGAAGUGAAAAAGAAGAGAUCGAACCUUUCUGGAUGUUGUAAAUAUAUUCAUUAUAUAUGUAUAUAUUAUAUAUUCUAUAUAUUAUAUUUGAGCUCUAUGCUUUUAAGUACCAAGUUAUUGCCGUGCUUGUAGAUUUUUGCCAUUGGUGAUUAAGGAGUAUGCGGUCUGGAUGAUUGGGCUCUCUAGGGUUUUGAGUGGUAGUUUGGUUGAUGUAUAAUUAUGGUUGAAAAUGAUCGAGACGUAGAUCUACGGUAAAACUUAUAGCACCAAUGCUUGGUGCUUUACAAGCCACCAGAGCUGGCUCUCUCUUCUUCUCUCUCUCUCUCUCUCUCUUCUCUUCUUCUUCUCUAUAAUUAUUAUAUUAUACUAUUAUAUUAUUGAUAUAUUAGAGUUGAGCUAGAAUAUUCGAUAGUCAACGAGCCGUUAUUUACGAUUUGUUUCGAUGAUUGGCUUCCAAAUGCGAUCGGCCUCCUGUUAAAUAUUGACUACAUUUAACUAGCUAGAUAAUCAAAUUUACGCACUGAUAUUGUGUUCUUUUAUCCAGUCAACGUGAACAGAAAAAUGAAUGCGCUGAAAAUGAAUAUUCUUUAAAUAUGAUGGUUAGGAGUCUUGUAAUCAAGAUCAAGAGUAUAGAUCUUGUUUUAAAUAGUUUAAAGAUUUUCUAACAAAAUUCAAGUGAUUUGGUAUUUUCACGCCGUUUAACAGACGAAAACGCCUGCUUAUGGACCAUUAAAUUACUAAUUUUGAAACCUUUGAUCAUUAGGCAAUGAUGUCGAAAGAUUUGAAUUUGAUUUCUAAAUUACUUAAUGGUAUAGAUAUGUUCAACGGAGCCGCUCGUCAUUUGGGAAGUUAUAUCCGAACAAUCGGUAGUACGGCUCGUUACUACGAUCAUUUGUCUAGCUUUUAUAUAUAUAUUAUUAUUAUUAUUAAUAUAUCUAUAUAUUUUAAUAUAUAUAUAUCUUGGUGGCGUACUUAUCAUAUGGUAUAGAGCCCUUUGUACUUCUAGUUUGUCGAGCGUUUCAGUAUGAAAAUAUGGUUCGGGAUCGAUAAGUGGUUUACGGUUAGGUGAUAGUAGGCCCCUAGGUUGAGUGUGUGUUGUUGGAUUGAAUAGUUAUCUACAGGUGUGAAUGAUUAAGGUAUAUCUAACGGCCUAAAAGUUUGAGUAAAUAGAUUUUUUUAUUUUUUUAUAUAAAGUAUAGUCGCGACUGUAUAUAUAUAUAUAUAUAUUAUAUAUUACUAUAUAUAUAUGUUAUAUUUAGUAUUAUAUAUUAUUUACAUAUAUAUUACUAUUAUAUAUAGUAUAACCAAUUAUAUAUAUAUAUAUAUAUAUAUAUAUAUAUAUAUAUAUUAUAUAAUAUAUAUAUAUAUAUACUGUUAUAUAUAAUAAUAUUAUAUAUAUAUAAACUGUAUAUUAAUAUAUAUGUGAAUUAUCCUAUAUAUCUAUAUAUUAUAUUACACAUAUAUUAAUAUUACAUAAUAUUUAUAUUUAUAUACACAUCAUAUAUAUAUAUAACUAUUGUUAUAUUAACUUAUAAUAUUUAUAUAUACACAAAUUUUAUACCACGCUCAAAUUUAAAAUAUGUAGUUUAUAUGGUGUGUAUUAUCUAUAUAUAUAUAUAUAUCUGUCUAUAUUAUAUAUACACAAGUAUAUUAUGUUUUAUAUAACAAACACAAUAUAUAAUCUACUAUAUAUUUAUAUAUAUUAUAUAUAUUUAACACCAUUUUAUCUAUAUAUAUAUAUAUAUAUGGUAUAUUCAAAGUAUUAUGUUAUUAUAGUUAUUUUAUUGUAUAUACUAUACAUAACUAUUCUGCAUUAUAUAUAAUGUAUUGUAUACAUAUUAUACAUAUACUUAUCUUUAUAAAUUUAUAUAUAUAUGUGUGUUAUAUAUUAUAUAUGUAUGAUAUUUAGUCAUAUAUAUAUAUAUAUAUAUUAUCAUUUAUUUAGCUGGGGUUCGGUACUAUAGUCCGUUUUCGAUGUUUGGCGUUUUUCCAUAUCAGCGAUCCAAUCGUAAAUUUGAUUAAGGUAUUUAACUUAAAUUUUAUAUUUCUGCGACUGUUUACUUUUAUGAUCACAUAAUUUCAAAAUUACGGCUACUGUGGUAGUUUGGGUUUAGCCUGUAGAGAAUCUAUCAAUUCAUAGAAAUACUUUAACUAUCGUGGUUAACGGUUAUAUGUUUGAGUUCUUGAAUUUAAAAGUACUUACUCAAUUUAAGAGUUAUUCUUACGUCAUUUUGCAUAUUUAUUUAAUGGUAACCGAUGAUUCGAAAAAAACUACGAUUUAUUCUAAGACUUAUUAUCUAGAUCUAUUAUGUAAAUUUGAACUCCCUCAGAUCGCAAGACUAUAGUGGCAAAUCUAUAGUGCCUAAUUAUUAUAUUAUAUAUAUCUUUAUUAUUUAUAUAAAAAGCGAAUGAGGAGAAGAGAGAGAUGAUUGACAUCGAUAGCAAAGCGGGCUCUGUUGAACUUUGUUUUCGAUGAUGCAGCUCCUCGUCGUCGGCAUAUCAACCAAUCUAUCUUUUAAAUUAUUUUCAUUGUAAUAUAUUGAUAGUCCCAAAAUUUUAAAUUUUAAAUUAAUUUUAAAUUUUGAAUUAAAAUAUAGAUUUACUGUAGAUAUUCUGACAAAAAUGUGGAUAAGCAUAAUAUUUUUCUAUUUUAGAGAUAAAAAAUUAAAUAAUUUUUUAAUUAAAAUAUAGAUUCACAGUAGAUAUCUUUCUAUUGUCAAAAAUUUGGAUAAGUAUAUUUUUUUUCUAUUUUAGAGAUUAACAGAAAUGAAAGUUUGUUUCAUUACGUUAUUUAUUUUACGUACGGAAAGAGGAAUCAAUAUUUUUCCCGUUUAAAAAUGGGUCUGUCGACAGACCCAAAUUUGAAAUACGUGCUUUUAUAUAUAGUAUAGAUAUAGUAGAGUUACUAUACUAUCGGAAGUAUAGAGAAUCUGGUGCUUCCGAUUUUUUGGCCGUUAGAUCAGCCGUUUUAAUUAUUUUUAACCUUUGGAUUAAUCCUAUUACCCUGUGGGAACCACUCAACCCUAGGGGUACUACUCAACCCUGGGGGACCACAAUCAUCCCAACCGUAAUUUAGAUUUUUUGGCCGUUAGAUCAGCCAUUUUAAUAAUUUUUAACCUUUGGAUUAAUACUAUUAUCCUGUGGGGACCACUCAACCCUAGGGGUAUACUCAAUCCUGGGGGACCGCAAUCAUCCCAACCGUAUAAUUCUUAAUGUAAGGGUCAAAAUAUCGGAAGUAUCAAAUGCUUUAUGCUCCCGAUAGCAUAGUAGCUCUACAAUAUAUAUAUAUACAGAGAGAGAAAGAGAGAGAGAGAGUUGGACUGGGCUACUAUUAGUAGCAAAAUCCCAUUGUUACUACCAGUUUUUUAGCCUUUGGAUCAACUCUUUUCAUUAUUUCUAACCAUUGAAUUAAAUACUAUAACCCAGUAGGGACCACUCAACCCUAGGGGGACCACUCAACUCUAACCGACUAAUAUCAUCCUGACCCUACAAUUUUUCAUCCAAGAGUUAAAAAUUUGAUAGCAAAAAGUGCGUUUUACUAUUAAUAGUAUUCCAGCCUAAUUCUAUAUAUAUAUAUAGCUAGUCUCCUAUACUAUUUAUAGUAUCGGAGCUACGGUACUAUAGUCUCGUUUUCGAUCUUAGGGUGUUCAAAUCAACGAUCCACACCGUUAAAACUGAUCUAGGGUAUUUAAAUUUUUUAGAAAUAAAAUUUUAUAUUUUUUCGACAUAUUUUACUUUAUGAUCAAACCAUUUCAAAAUUGUCAAUUUUCAAUGGCUACUAUGGCGAGUUUGGAGUUUAACGUGUGGAAGAAUCUAAAUUUCUUCAAAUUUUCAUAGAAAAUACUUUAAACUAUUUAGAUUAAGGUUAACAUUCUUGAUCUUGAAUUUAAAAGUUCUAUACUCAAAUUUUAAAGAUUAUUCAAUUUUCACCGUCCAUUUUGACAUAAUUUAUUUACUAAGUAAACGAUAUCGAAUAAAACUAAAAUGUUAUUCCUAAGAACUUCAUAUACUCUAGAUCAUAUUUAACGGUGUGGAUCGUUAAUUUGAACACCCUAAGAUCAAAAACAAGAUUAUAGUACCGGAGCUUCGGUACUAUAGAUAGUAUAGUAGCCUAAUUUUAUAUAUAUAUAUAUAUAUAUAUAUAUAUAUAUAUAUAUAUAUAUAUAAGCGAGAGGAGAGAGAGAGAGAGAGGAAUGAGAGAUGUUUUUUUUUUUUUUUUUUUUUUUUUUUUUUUUUAACUAGAAUACUAUCGAUAGCAACGGGCAUCUGUUUGGCCACCCCCAUUUGUUUCGAUGAUAGAGCCUCCAAAUCGACGAUCGGCACCGUUGAACAUGAUCUACACCACUUGAAGUAUUUAGAAAUCAAAUUUCAAAUCCUUUCGACAUCAUUUACCUAAUGAUCAAAGGGUUUCAAAAUUUGUAAUUUUAAUGGUCGAUAUGAGGCAUUUUCCCGUUUAACGGCGUAAAGAUAUCCAAAUCAAUUGAAUUUUUGUUAGAAAAUUCUUUAAACUAUUUAAAACAAAAUCUAUACUCUUGAUCUUGACUACAAGACUCCUAUCAUCAUUUUUUAAAGAAUAUUUAUUUUUAGCCGUUCAUUUUUGUGUCCGCUUGAUGGAUUAGAGAAUAAUAUCGAAAAUGUAUGAAAUUUGAUUUCUAAACACUUCAAGUGGUAUAGAUCAUGUUUAACGGUGCAGAUCGUCGAUUUGGAGGCUCCAUCAUCGAAAACAAAUGGGUGGCAACAGAGCCCGUUUGCUACCGAUAGUAUUCUAGCUCAACUAUAUAUAUAUAUAUAUAGUCCGGCUACUAUACUUUUAUGAGUAUUGGCUCCUUUAUACUCAUAAGUUUUCGGCUCUUAGAUUUAUUUCACUGAUUAUUUCCAUCCGUUAGAUCAUACUAUUCAACCAACUACCCACUCAACCCUAGGAGACCACAAUCAUUUUAAGUGGGGACCACCAUCAUCCUAACCACACAUUUCAUCAAUCAACGGUUAAAAAUUUAUGAGUACAAGGGGGCCUAUACUCAUAAGAGUAUAGUAGCCCCAGCUUAUAUAUAUAUAGGCUGUGUGUGUGAAGUUGCAUGUGGGAAACCCUAACCCUUGCCGCUCUAGGCUCCCAGCGUGACUGCCACCUUUCCCCUGGGCCUCACCUGCGCCGGCGACCUCUCGGCCGGCGAGGAGCCCCUCAAUUUCUUCAUCUCCUCAUCUUUCUCUCUCUUCCUUUCUUCCUUUCUUCUUCCUUGUGAGCCCGAUCUGCAAGGAGAGCCAUGCAACUCCCUUGGGCCCUCCCUACGCUGCCUUAUCUCCGGCAACUCAUAUCCGACGGCCUCGUGCGUUGUUGAGGUCACCGCGGCCGCCGGACCCCUCAUCUUUAUUGGCUCGGGCUUGGAGGAGCCACCUUUCCUCUACGCCACUGCCGCCUAUAAGUUAUGGAUCCCAAAGAUCUAAAAGAUAAAAUAAUACCUAGAGGGGGGUGAAUAGGUGUAAACGACAAAACAAAUAAUCUCGAUGCAAAUUAAAACCAAGUGCAGAAAAAUAAAACCAACACACCAAGAUUUUACGUGGAAAAACUCCAACUCGGAGUAAAAAACCCACGAGACCAAUUACACGAAAUAAUCCACUAUGAAAAAUUGAGUGUAAAGUGAUUUACCAAAUUCAUGACCCAACUUUUACCGAAUCCUCGUCGUAGAUCGUCUUCGCCGGUCCUCAAUUGAUCGAACUCCUCCAAUCGAUCACACCGCAAUUCCUCGCAGCAACAACGUCUCGAAUCCACAAGCGUCCACCGAAUCCUCGGCCUCACGCGAAGCCCUCGCACAAACACUCCAUCCAGAGCCCGUAGAAAAAAUAAUUGGUGGUGAUUGAAUUUUCUUAAAAAACCAUAGAUAUGAGGAGAACCUUUUCAAUCCAUCAUCAACUCAAUUCUCAAUGGAAUAUUGGAAUAAAAACCUAAGAAUCGAGUCAACGAUUGAAAGAUCGAAACUUGCUUUAAGACAUAAAUCGAAAAGCUCCAAAAAUAAGUUUUUAGGGUUUCUAAAGGAUCUUAUUUCUAAGCAUAUGUAUUAGGACACUCCCCAUAGCUUAUUUAUAGGUUUAGGAGACAUAGAUAUAUAUUAGGAUUUGAAAAACUCAUCUUUAAAAACAGACGACGGUCUCAAGGUCCGGACCUUUCACAAGGUCCGGACCCUCCUUGCGUGGUAAAUAAUCCAACGUAUAGGGUUCGGACCCUAGCCCGAAGGUCCGGACCCUCUCUGCGUAAACGCAAGGAGGACCUACGGGGUCCGGACCUUGAUCCCAGGGUCCGGACUCCGAACCUUGAAAAACUUAGUUUUUCUAAUUUUUUACAUUUAUAACUCAUUCGAAGUCUCCCAACACUUUUAAAUGUGCAAAAUAUCACCACAAAUUAUUACAGCACAUACCUGAGAUAACGAGCGAGUCAGUGCCUUCCGAGACCUUCUGUGGGUCCCGGGAAUGUCUCGGUGCAAUUUCGGGACAUUUCUAGCGGUUUGCGGAGAUCAGUUGUUGGGAAACCGAGUCUCAGGAUGUGGGAAUUGUGUGAGUUCUUUCGUUGAGUUAGUAGGGGUUUGUAUCUGACUCGGCAGACCCGUCGUAGGUCCGGUUGACUUCUUGCACGUCCAGGAUUCAGACGCGACUGUGACAGGUGGGUACUUCGAUCCGAAGUCGGUUCAGUGGCAUAUGCUCGGUGACUUCUUUCCUCUCCCUUUUCUGUGACUGCGUAGCUUAUCAUGAUUAUCUGUUCAGUACUUUGCAUUGCAUGGCUUAUUAUGAUCAUAUGUUUUGUAUCUUGCACAUUACUUGGCACUCGUUGGUCUACUCUACGGUUAUUUCAUCUUGUAGUAUCGUGUUUUACUCAUUAGUAGAGUAGCAUCCUAGUGAUUGAUUAUCAUUGCAUGACCUUAUCAUGGACGACAUUUCAUACUUGGUGAUACGGCUUUAUAGACCUGAUAGGUCAGUGACAUUGUGACAUUCCUUCGGGAAUAUUAGACCUGAUUUGGUCGGACAUGGUUGUGAUCGUUCUUCCGGCUUUUCGCCGUCGUUGGCCAUUGAGCAUAUAGUAUCAAUCUCCACAGCUCAUACGCAUUUCUUGAACACCAGCGGUCUGAUCCACCACGAGGGAGUGUUUUUUUCUGAAAAAGUAGUUGGGAGUGCCAACCCGUGAACUCAAGAGCUUAUGCUAGGGUUAUAUGCAAUUCAGAGCGGUGUGGCACUAGCCUGAAAUCUUUAGACCAAUAUGGCUUUUGAUUGGGUAUAUUAGUACUAUCAGUUUUUAGUUGAUGCAUGGACAUUCCUCCAUCUUUACUUUACAGUAGCAGUUGCUUGUAUUAUAAACAAAAGCGAUAUAUGCGACAAGUAAAUAAACAUGAGUACUUACUACUACAUAAGGUCUCUACUUAGCAUGGAAUUGCAUAAGUAAGAAAGUUAUACUAUCAUGAAAAUGCACGAGUAUACACCAUCAUAAUAUCCACAAUGUAAUAGUAAAAUGUCAUUGUUUACUAUUCUAGUCAAUGUUCACUUGGCAUGUUAACUACUUAAAGUUAAAUCUUGGAAGAUCCGCCCGAAGGUUGUUUGGCCUGUAGACCCACCCGUAGGCUGUCUGGCCGGUGCCGAGCCUAAUGGCCCUGUGGUAGUCAACAUCCCCACCCUAGGAAUGAGCCUUGCCCACGACAAUCCACUUCGGCGCCCAAUCCCGCAUGGCUAAUAUGUAUCGCGAUGGCCAUCUCCGGAGUGCCAGCUUUUAGGGAGCGACCCUCACAAGCAUGUGCGAAUGAGCACAAAGGCAAGUAAGCAUAUAUGUCCGUCUCAAGUCUCAAGUCAUCAUGUCUAAAAUAUGGAAUAUAGCAACUGUGUCGAUGGCCUAUCACUACAUCAUCAUGUCUAAAACACGGAAUAUAGUCGAUGUCCAAUGGCCUAUCACUAUGUCUCUAUGUUGCAGUUUCAUAGUUUAGUAGCUCAAGUGCUCCUUUAUGGCGCUUUUGUUCACUAAGUCAAAGUAUGAUAAUUAUGUUCAUGAAUACAUAAUUCUAAUCAUUUCCCUCGCACGAGACACGUAAUCAACUCGUAAGGAUAAACACUUCCACAUGCAUGCAGCCUACACAUAUAGCUCCACUAUAUAGAGUGAAAUUGUUAUUAUACAUAACACAUGCAUUUUAAGUGUUCUAAAAUUCACAUAAAUUCCAUUUAGCAUGAAUAUGCAAUCAAAUUGACGUUACGACAAGUAUAACACCCAUAGGUGGCAUUUUGCCCCGGUUUCAUGAAGUCAAACCCACCACAACUCUUGCGACUGUUCGUUUGCUCUGACGAAGGUGCCCACUAGUCUCCUAGCACCCUAAAGAUGUAGGAAUAAGAGUUAAACAAACCUUACAAACAUCUCAUAGCUCAAACAUUAACCAACUCUAGCUAAGGUGGAGAAAACUCACCUAUAGCGUAGAAAUCCUCUAAGAAAUUCUAAAUGGAAGCCAAAUCCCUUCCAAAGCAAACUAUACCAAGGUUCUAAACCAAUCAAUAGAGCUCCAAAAGCUUUUAAUCAAAAAGUCCCAAAAAUAACCCUAAAUCUCAUUUCUAGGGUUUCAUUUGGUAAAACCUACCAAAAUAUGCUCCAAAGAGUAGAUUAAGCAUACUAACCUCCUUGGUAGCUCCAAACCAAGCUCAAAAUGCUCUAGGGUUGAAGGUUGGUCCUCUAUCAAGCUCCUAGCCCAAGCUCCAAGCCAUCAAUGGUGAGAAGAGAGGGUGUGGGGGAAGUCCAAAGUCCACCAAGCAAGCUCUCCUUCCUCUUCUCCUCCUUCUUCCCUUUCUUCCUUCUCCUUUCUUCUUCUCUUUUUAGAGAGUGUGAGAGAGUGAGAAGUGAGGGAAAGAGAGAGAGAGGAAAAGCCCUAAAAGCCCUCUAAAGUAACAAAAUCCAGAAAAGCCCCUCAACUUUGCAACCUGUGCACUGCCCUGACUGGGCAGUUUUCGAAUGGAGGGACCGGUCUCUCCCCAUAUGGGACCGGUCCCUCAGGACCUUCCUGCAAAACCAACACUCGGGAACCGGUCUCUCUCUGGCCAGGGACCGGUUGCCUCAAAGUCUACCGCAACUGUAGCUACGAGUGACCGGUCUCUCCCACUAGGGACCGGUCCCCGAGAGUGAAACUUUCAGGACUUAGCCAAAAAUACAGAAUUUCGAACUACCGGUCAAAACACCGUCUACAACCCUCCACAAGGUGUGGAAAAGCUCGGAACUCAAAUCAAACACUCGAACCUCGCAAUUUGCACAGGUCCAGUGUGUUACAGGGUGGCGGGCGCGCAGGCAGGGGACGGGUGCGGCCAGUCAGUGGGGCCGGGGCACAUGCUAGCCGACGACGGAGGAGAUCAAGCCCGUGCGGCUCGGCUCGGCUCGGCUCGGGUCAGGGAAAUAACGGUGGCCAGGCAGCGGCCGGGAGAGUGCCGGGGCGACAGCGGUCGGUCGCUGGAGGUCGAGAGAGGGUGGCGCGGUUGUCCGUGGGCGGCAGUGGCGCGCGGGGGUCAAGAUGACCCCGGUUUGGCGCGGUCUGGGUCUGGGUGCCUGCAGGGAGCCAAGGUGGCGGUCGGGGGCCCGCAGGGACGGCGGCGAGGGAUCGCAGGAGGCCCAAGAGGGCGGCGCGGCCGGCCAAGGGCGGCAGCGGCGCGUGGUCCUCGAGCUAGGCUGAGCUCGGCCCGAGCUAGGUCUGGGUUGGCCGUAGGUCUCACGGGCGGUGCCGGCGGCGCGCGCUGACGACGCGGGCCGGCGGGGACGGCGCUGUGGGACGGGCCUCAACCGAGGGAGGGGCCUAGACGCGUGAGGUUAAUUCUCUGGAGUCGACGGCUGAGAAGGUGGAGAGGAUGGUUGAGAGGGAGGCAAUGUUGGCCUUUUCUAGCGGCCGGGGACGCACGCCAGCGGCCGGGGUGCGCGUGAUGGGGUGUUGGGAGGUGGUGGAGUCAGCUGGGGGUGCAGCUAAGAUAGUUGGUCAGCUUGGGUUAGGGUUUCCUUCAUGAAACCCUAACACUUAUAUUUAUAUAAGGUGUAUUAUUUGCAGAAAAGUCCCCCAAAGCUGACUAUUUUUAGCCCAGUCCCUCACAACGCGUGUAUUUAGUGCGUACGCACCUCGGCGUUCGAAAUCGCGCCAAACGGCACAUAAAAUAUUGGGCUUUUUUUUGCAAUUUUUUCGUUUUGCCAAUUUUAACCCCUCAGCGAACUUUAUGCUAUUUCCGGAGAUCCGUCCGUCGAAUUUUCGAUCGGAUUGCCCCAGCGCGUUCAGCACGAUUGGGGCAUCGAAUCUACAAUUUUGUUUUGUCUGAUUUGGUUGCCGAUUUGCGAUGAAACCUACCCUCUCCGCGAUCCACAACACAACCAUAUACCACCACACACACACAACACACACACAUAUAUAUAUAUAUAUAUAUAUAUAUAAUAUAUAUAUAUAUAUAUAUAUUAUAUAUAAUAUAUAUAUAUUUAUAUAUAUAUAUAUAUAUAAUUUGACAUUUAAAAAUUCAAAUUCGAAUUUCCUUUAUUAUUCGAAUCUCAGAUAUUAAAGCAAAUCAAGUACCUCUCUGGAGGGACACAUCAAUCCGCACCCAAAGUCGCUAACUCGGUCUAAGCACAGUGUAUAUCAAAUCUGGGGAUUAAAACUUUGGGUGGCAAACCCUGUCUACUAAACAUCACCUCCCACUAGUCUGGCAACUGAAGUACCCUGGGUUAGGAACCUUAUCUAAGACUCCUUCAGUGCCAUACAAGCUAUAGUCAUAUGUAUAUACUCAAAGCUCCAAUAACCUAGACUCAACAGUCCAAUCACUGCUCGUAGGGGACAAUAGGAGCCAAGAGGUAAUCGUAAUGGAUGCCAACAAAAAUACAAGAUCCAAACUCUCCGGGUCGACUAGCAUGCUACAGUACUAAACAAGUAUGUAGGAAAGACAAAGAUAAUGUAAGUGACAGAGGUAAGCAUGCUAAAGACCCAAUCAUACGGACUACGUCUUCCGACCCUUAGGUCAAAAAUCUGAGGAAGUAGACACUAAUCAGCUAAGUCAAUCUCAUACUAGAUAAAUCAACCGACUAAUAUAGUCACAACUCAUCAAGGAGUAAGCACCGAUCUAUUAGAUCCAAGUAUACACAGGUGGAUGUUCUACCAAGUCAUCACCUAUUCUACAUGUCACAUACGUGAUACGAGAGAGCUCAAUCAAAAGUCUACCAAUCUAUAUGAUAAUCAACAUGACAACAAUAGGCAUGUAGAGUAAAAGCACGGGCCAAUACGAAGUCAACAGAAGUUAUCCUACUCAAUUAAUAGAAUAGAUCAAGCGGAAAGAAAGCUGAGUAAGAUACAACUUUACCGACUUCGGAAUGGAGCACCCACCUCACCAAGUACCGAAGUGUAAUAUCUAAGAUUUUGAAUAAAAGAAAUUCAAAUUUGAAUUUUGAAAUUGAUAUAUAUAUAUAUAUAUAUAUAUAUAUAUAUAUAUAUAUAUAUAUAUAUAUAUAUAUAUAUAUAUGUGUGUGUGUGUGUGUGUGUGUGUGUGUGUGUGUGUGCGCGCGCGCGCGUGUGUGUAUAAGGUUAUAUAGGUGGAUUUCAAAGAGGAUGGGUUUCGUCGCAAAUCGGCCACCAAAUCGGGUGAAACAAAAUAGUGAUAUUGAUGCCACGGACGUGCUGAUCGUGCUAGCGCAGUCCGUUCGCAAAUUCGACGAAUAAAUCUCCUGAUAUUGCGUGAGGAUCGAGAAGGGGUCAAAAGUGGCAAAUUGGAAAAUUCGCAAAACCCCCUAUAUUUCAUGUACCGUUUUGCGUGAUUUCGAACGUGAAGGUACGUACACCCGUUUUACUCGCGCUGUGAGGGACUCGGUUGAAAAUACCGAGCAUCGAGGACUUAAUAGCAAAAUGACACUUGAUAUAUAUAGGUAUUUAGGGUUUCAUGGAUGAAACCCCAACCUUAGUUGGCUUCCUCCCUCAGUUGACCUCCUUGCCACCCUCAGUACCUUCCCCUGCCUUAGGCGUGUGCACCCCGGCCGCCUCCGCACAUUGCCGGCCGCUGGAGCAAGACCCUCUUCCUCACACUCUCUUUCUUUCUAUCUCUUUCUUCUCACCUCUGUCCAAGAGCAACCAGGAAGGCCCUCACCCUCGAGCUCCUCCCCUGACAGUCCCUCCGACCUCCGGUGACCUCCCGAGUGUCCCCACGUGUCGCUGUUGCCAUCUCUAGCAGCCUGCGGCCAGGCCGAGCAAGCUUUGGCUCAGGGUGACCGAGCUCCUUUCCCUCGCUCUACUACCGCUCGGGGCCACCUUGGCCGCCCUCCCCCGACCCUCGGCGACCUCCCUCGCCGGUCGCCACUAUCCCAGCGUGUCGCCACUGCUGCCCCUAGCAGCUUACGGCCAGCCUGGGCAAGCUCAGGCCGAGGGUGACUAAAAUCCCUCCUCUCACGCCGCCACCGCCUAGGGCUAGCCGCGCUGUCUCCCUCUGGCCUCCGGCAACCCAUCGCCGUCGUCUCGUAGCACCCCGGCCGCUAUCAUGGUCGUGGCAAGCUCUUGAACCCGAGCCGAGCUUGUGCGGGUUCAGGUUGCUCCGCCGCCGCCACCGCCUCCCACUGCCGGCUAGCGCGAGCCCCGACCUCCCCCCAUCGGCCGUACCCACCUGCCGCUGGCAUGGCCACCGUCGAGCCGCCACCGGCCGUGCCCUAGCUCCCCCUGCCCGGUAAGCUAAGUUAAUGCUGUUUGUGCACUAGUUCAGGGUUGUUUGACUGUUUCAGUGAUCUGAGGCCACCCCGAUGCCUCUGGAAGUGAGCACGAUGAUCCUUGAUCAGUGCUGAUCAUCGUGCUCAUUUUCUUUGGGGUCAGCGAGCCCCUAGUUUGUGGAACAAGCGCGAUUUAAGUUUAGUGCGCGUAGUUCGCUGAACUUCGGGUUGCUCCCGCGCUCUCCACAGCAUAGUUAGUUAAUUCGCGAAUAAUUCGUGAAUUAUUCGCGAAUUUUUGAAAUCCCGAAUUUUACAGCCGUUUACGCAUUUUUCCCAAAAAUUCGGAAUAAUUCGCGUUUUUUUGGGCAAAAAGAAUUAUUCGCGAAUUAAACGGGAUUCGCGAAUAAUUCGGCCCAAAAAUACGGCCCGGUUGCUGCGAGCCGCGUCGGGCGGGCCUCGCAGGUGGCCCAAACGGGAAAAAAAAUAAUCGCCUGUCGCCCAAAAAAAAAAAAAAAAAACCCUUUCUGAAUCGCCCCCCUCCCACGCACGAGUCCCACACCCACUCUCACCCCCACCACUCCCAAAAAAAGGGUUUGCCCUAACUUCUCACCCUGCGGCGGUGCGGCGCGCGGCCCUGCCACCGACCCUAUGGCGGUCGCGGUCCCUUCCCCUCCCCCUCUUCCCUUCCGGCCGCUCGCCGAACGCCAUCGGAAGCCCUCGUCUUCAGAAAUUGAAGAUCGAAGAUCGGGUUCUUCACUCUUCAGAAAUCGAAACCCUCCUCGUCGCCUCUUCCGCUUCCGCUUCAGCUAUCCAACAAUAGAUCAGUAAUCGGGUGGUUUUUUUACAAAGCAAAAGUUGGAAGCUUUUAGUCCAUUUGAUGGAUACUUUUUUAUACACAAAUGGCUCGAGUGCUUAAAUUGAAUGUGUCCAUUAAUUCUCUGUUAUGCACAAAGAAGACCCAAACAUAGAGCUAAAUAAUCUUAAUUAACUUAUAAGGUACCAGGAACUCUUGUAUUAUACCUAAUCAAUUUCAUGAAUGUGUUCAUUCUCUGUUUAUUAUUAUUUUUUUACUUAAUUUUGUAGCUUUUUAUUUUUAUAUCCUUAAAAAAUAUGAAUAUUUAUGCUAAUUGCAUAAAUUUUGAGAGAAAAAAAUUAAUUUAAUAGCCGAAUUUUUGAUCCCGAAUUUUUAAUUGGUAAACGUAUAAUAUCCGUAUAAAUCACGUAUCCGAAUAAUUGGCGAAUCCGUUUUUAAGCCGAUUUUUUCAACGAAUUUAAAAAUUAGAAUACGAAUUUUAUCCGAAUUAUACACGUACCGAAUUUUUGCCGAAUCCGAAUUAACUAACUAUGCUCCACAGUGAGCCUCUGUGCUUCGAACUGUGAGCACGGCCUCCGGCUUGUCGAGACCUGUCAGCACAUGUCUUUGCUGACCUCGAAAGCUGUACAAUUGCAACCUACUCCCUUUUUGCACCCAACUCCACAGCACAGCGCAAAUUACGUCGAAGCCCUCCGAAUGAGGAACUUCGCAGAUUCAUGCAUUAAAAAUCACACUUUACGAAGAGAUCCCCCGUUCAACACUCUUUCCCCAACUUCAAAUAUGUGUCAUUUUUCAUAGGAAUCUCAGAAUUUCGUAAAAUUUGAGCCCGUGCGAUCCUCUCUAAGUCUAGAUUCACAUGGGUCCAUCCAUUUAUGAAAAUUCUAGAAUUAUCACAUAAAAUGUUAACCCCUUCGCGCAAAGUCCUCUUUUGCACCGAUUGUAAAAAUUGCCGUUUAAUCCCUCAUAAUCACAAUUUCUAACCCCAAACUCACCUAUAGGUGUGUUUUUCUCAUAAGUUCUUCCACCUCAAAAUUCAUGCAAUUUGACACAUGAAAUGUCGCGCUUUUUAGAAAAUUACUCCAAUUCAGCAAAAUUUGCACUUUUACAAAUUCAUCCCCAAAAUAUCACCAAAUCACGCCAAAUUGCAUCGAGGUCCAUUACCGGACUUACUAUACUGGCGGACCAUGAAGGUGGCACUUUUUAUUUCAUUGAAAAUCAUAUCUAAUUCCAAUAAUUUUGCAAUGCGGGCUGUCUUAUGCAGUAUCAAUUAUAUAUGUUGGACCCCUAGACUAGUUGUUCUAAGCUUGAAAAUCAAUUCGGAGCCAGAAUGGGGGCUGUGGUGCUUUUGUUGUCAAAAUUAGUUGUUAUAAUGUAAUUUCUAUUUGAAAUUCACAUAAACAUCAUUAUGGCUAUCUUUGUACAUCAUUGAGCUUUCUUAGCUGGUCGAUCUUCACUGUCUUGUUUGUCCGAUGACAAUAGGAGGUCAUGAUCGGUUCUGAGGCCUAAAAUGGCACUUCUGGAGCUCAAAAUGGCAUAUUUUUUAUACUAAAAUUUCUUUCAAUUUGCAUUUAGAAUGUGAGUGCCUUGGCACCUAAAUUGCUGCAUUUUGGGAUAAUGAAUGGGAUGAUGAGAUGCAUAGUGUGUUUCGGAACCUUUGUAGGCUGAAAUGGCUACUUCAGCGAGCUUACAUAAAUAUCGACUAAAAUUGGAAAUCGGUAGUUGGAGCCAAUGUUUUGGUCACAUCGUAGACAUUGUUGGUUACUUCAUAUCACUUUUAUGUAGUAAUGUUGUACUAGGGUCACCUUGGGACUGAACUCAUAUUGUAUAUAUGGUUCAGCAUUAAAAUAGUGUUUAAGAUACUAAAAUUGGUCCUUCUCAGCCAAACUAUUGGCUCAACUAAACUAUUGGCUUAGGAUUGUGUGGCCAUACUUGUUGUUGGUCAGAGCAACAUUAUAGUCACAUUUCGAGUGAAAAUGAUCCUUGAGAGUGAUCAUAUAGUUAUGUGUUGUCCUAUACUCAAAAGCAACAACUUUGGCACUUUCCAAGCCAAAAACUUUGCCAUUUUUGACGCAUUGGUUUGUGCACUUCGACUCCUAAACUUGUGAUGUGUUUUAGAGCGUUCUCACUAGUUGAAACAAGUAGCAUUAGUACUGUUCUUAUCUUCCGCUGGCUCCUACGUCACAUCAACAUACAUCGAAACCCAUUGUGGCCUAGUUUUUGGGUCGAAACCUCUGUUGUUAUGCACCUUGAGGGCAGUUGUCCCAGUACAUAAAUUAGUGCAUUUUGGGAUAGUGAGUUGUCUAAAGAGACUUAUGGUUUGUCUCAAAACACUUUCUAGAUUUUGUGGAAGUCUCACUGAUGUAGGCAACGGUUUGGGCGAGUGUCACGCCCCGGGGUCCCUUUUUGUUUAAAACAUAGCGGAAAAGCGUCUGAAUUUUUUUUUUUUUUUUUUUUUCAAACCUGACCCCAGAGUAUGCCAGAUCCGCCACAAAUACAGGGAAUCCACUGUUCACACGGACAGAGUCUCCCCUGUAUUUGCACGGCAUCGUACAAGUACAAGAGUAUAGCCAGGAAACAACCACAACCAAAUGAAUAUAACGAUAACUAUACAUUCAUACAUUCACCAUUCACGUCACAGUUUUACAUUCAGUGUUUAAAUAGAAAUUCACGAAAAUUCUUUUGAAAACUGUUCCCUACACGGAAACCUUUAUUCGUUAAAAACGCUACCACGAGGGGUAGAAAACCUUUUAUUUUACAAAAUCCAGAAAUCCACAUUUUCAAAUGUAAAUAAACACUGAACCACAUAAACCAACUAAACUAUUCAUCAGCCAAAAUAAGAAGGGUAAGAAAGUAAACCGAAUUAACCCGGGUCGAAAGCUCUAUCGACCGCUACACGCGUACCUCACGUCUCGUCCCACUACUCAUCGCCCACGAUACCUGAAAAAUGGUGGGGGAGGUGAGAACAUGUAAACAUGUCUCCCCUCCCAGUGGGUACCGCAAGCCGAAGAAGGCGAGGAGUACUCACCGGAUCAGGAAGAGAUAACCAACAGUAUGGGUAAGUAAAAUACAGUAGCAACGAUAAUGAACGAAUGAGAUAUAUAUAUAUAUAAACACAACUACCGCUACUGUAAUGUACAACUGCAAGCAUACAAGGAUAUCAAAACUAUAGUAGCAAGACAACUGUAAAGAAAGAACUAGAAGUACAUAUGCAACAACCGCUACUAUAGCUAUAUGCGUCAACCGGACGAGAAGUCCAAAAGUACCCAAUCUAAACCGCCGUGUCGGUCUAAGGACCUCAGGCAAAAGCCACUAUCUGCUCACACCUGGCAUGUAACCCUAGCACAAAGAGAACACCGCUGGGCUCACGGGUCGGAUGUACGACCACUUUUCCGGAAAAGAACACCCUCCUGCGGGGGAUCAACCCGCUGGUGUACGUGAAAUGCACUCGAGCUGUGGCGAUC